CCCCAGUCAAGCUUGCAAAAAUCUAUCAUUUGCCCGAUAAUAAAUGUUGGAAAUGUAAAGAAACUGAAGGUACAUUUUUCCACCUUUGGUGGACGUGCCCAAAGAUUAAGGCUUUCUGGGAGAUGAUAUAUAAUGAAUUAAAAAAGGUAUUUAAAUAUACCUUCUUGAAGAAACCAGAGGCCUUUCUCCUGCGCAUAGUCGGCCAAUCGGUGUUAAAAAAGGACAGAACUUUCUUUAGGUAUGCUACAACAGCAGCAAGAAUACUCAUCGCAAAGUAUUGGAAGACACAAGAUCUACCCACUCUGGAAGAAUGGCAGAUGAAGGUGAUGGACUACAUGGAAUUGGCGGAAAUGACUGGCAGAAUCCGAGACCAGGGAGAAGAGUCGGUGGAAGAAGAUUGGAAGAAAUUUAAAGAUUAUUUACAGAAACAUUGCAAAAUUAAUGAAUGUUAGAGUGAUGUUGGAUUGAAGUUAAGUGGCUUCUAGCUGUACAAGUUUUAAAGCUAUAAAUAUAUCAAGAUUAAGGAUUAGGAUCAAAAAGGUUAAGAGAAAUGGAAAAAUUGGUUUUAAAUAGGUAAAAAUCUAAUGUCAUAAUAUAUUAAGACUUAGGAUUGGAAUUAAAAAGGAGGGAAAGAAAUUGCUGAGCUUACAAACUGAAUUGGAAUACAAAAGAGGGAGGUAUGAGGAAGUCCGGGAAACAAGUGAAUGUAAAAGAGGUUAUGAAAAGACGGAACUAUUUUUAACUGUUUUCUCUUUUUUUUCUCCCUUCUUUUUUUUCUAUUUUGUAUUUUGUAUGGUGUAUUUUUCUCUGUUUUUGUUAAAAAAUUUCUUGUUUAUUAAUGUGAUUUUAUUCUUUUUGAAACUUUAAUAAAUAUUAAUCAGAAAAAAAUAAAUAAAUAUUUGGGGGAGGUGAUGGAGCUCCUCCCCCCAACUCAUUUGCAAAAUAAUACCCCUACCAAUGCCUAACCGCCACAUGAGCCAACCUCCCCCUCCUUAUGUCUGGAGUGGCUAUGUACAAAAUGCAUAUACUAGAGUAUCAUAGAAUCAGAGUUGUAGUUGGAAGGGAUCCCGAGGGUUAUCCAGUCGACACAUGGCCCCCAUAUAAUUACAAGUAUUGGCAAAUAUAACAUUAAAAUGCAUUGUGUUAGAUGAAAUGGCUCUAUAAAAAUGUGUGGGAUAAAAGCUGGGUAAACCUAAGGUGUAGUAUUCCCUCUCUAGCCCUACCCAGAGGGGCUUAGGGAGAGAGUCUGAAGAUGGUCCCUGGUGGAGAAGAUGGUUCCUUGGGUACCUAGGCUAUUUCAACCUGAUCCCCACAUUAUUUAUUAUUAUUAUUAUUAUUAUUAUUAUUAUUAUUAUUAUUAUUAAUUGAGUUUAUAUACCGCCCUCUACCCAGAGGUCUCAGGGCGGUUCACAGAAAAGAUCACAACACAUAUCAUCAGCAUAAAAACAACAUUUUAAAAGGGUACAGGAUGUCAAACAGAUCACCUAAAGGCCUGGUUAAAAUGGAACAUUUUUGCCUGGUGCCUAAAGGUGUAUAAUGAAGGCACCAGGCGAACUUCCCAGGGGAGAGCAUUCCACAGAUGGGGAGCCACUGCAGAGAAGGCCCGUUCUCAUGUUGCCACCCUCUGGAUCUCUCGAUAAAUCGCCCUCGCAGGAAGAUGGCGCCCAAAGGUUCUACUUCCUCCUUGCUGCAGUUCCUAUUUUGCCAGGGAGAGAGGAACAAGUCACAAACAUCACUUUCAGGAGCUGAACCAGUAUAUGUUAAGCAAAGUUGGCCAAAGCUCAGUAGCAAUUAAAGGAUCUCAGCAAGCAGAUCCUCCAAGUGUCCCUAUUUUCAAGGGACAGUCCUGGGUUUACAGAAGCCAUCCUAGUUUCUGAUUUAUCCUGGAAUGUCCUUAGGACAUCCCUAUUUUUCUUCAGAGAACUGUUGGAGGGUAUGGAGUUAUAUGACCCCUGAGCCAAGGAGGCACAUGAAGGAGGGCCUCAGAAGAUGAUCUCAGGGUCCGGGUAGGUUCAUAUGGAAAGAGGCGGUCCUUGAGGUAUUGCAGUCCUUAGCCGUUUAAGGCUUUAUAGGUCUAAACGUACUGGGCUUCUCUUCCUUCUUAUCUCUUUGCAACAUUUUUUUCUAUCUCCCCUGUCUCUCCACCCUUUAUUAUGCCUGGGACAUAGCAGCUGGGUUCUUUUCCUUCCAUCCAUCAAGGCGAUAAGUAGGAGUGCAUCGUACUGCAGCUCCUUCUUCUUCCAUAGGCAGAGCUUCCAGGCUGUGUUCAAAUGUAGUCUCCUUGGGAACCAUUGCCUGGUGGUGCAGAUCCUUGCCUUCUUAAAGGGCUAGGCACCAGAAAAGCUCUAGCAGGCCCUGAUGACCCAUCACAGUGUGCCUUUGUGUGCUCAAGUGAUUAUGCCAGCCUUUCAGGGAAUGUAUGCAAUUGUGAGUGUAUUGACUACCCAAGACUUCACAUCUACAGUGAACCCUAAUCUCCAGCCAUGGAAAGCAAAAUUUAAUGAGGACACCAGCUUCCCCAAGUGUAUUUUCAUCCCUCCAUCUCUUUGGUUUCUUCAGAAGUCCUUGCAAUCUCUCUUUGCAGCAAUGUAAUUCAUUGACUACAACCUCGUAAGCACAUAUUUGCAAUGUACUUACCAAAAUGGCUUCAGAAGUACAUAUUACAGUCUAACAGUGACUUGUAAAGUUGAGUCAACAAAAUGGAGAUUAAAGGGACUGAAUGCUGUUUGGGGAGAUAAAUGCUGCUAACUACAGAACUAUCUCCCAAUGAUCUCUAAAUAAUUAGAAAAUGGAGACCACUGUUAACUAGAAGGGAGGCAGUCAAGGAUAGCAGGUCUGAUGCUUACAGUGCAAUCCACAAUGUUCUGCCUCCAUAUAAUCUCCUCACCUGGCUGGGCAGUUUCUCCUUCCUGUUUGUUCUCUUGCCUCUCUUCACUCUUGUGAUUCAAGGACCCGCCACCCGCUUGAGGAUAAGAAAGACACAUGGACACAGUAUAUUAGGUUAAUGGGCUAACAAAAGGCCACAACUUUAUUGAUUACGGUACAUCAUGUGAGAGGUAUUGGCUUAGGCAUUGGAUAAAACAACAGUGUGUGUCUCCACCCCCUCAGGGAGGGGUGAGUCUAUCAAGGGUUAACCACCAGUGGCAGGAGCCUGUUGAUGCAAAUACAACUGAAAGCUUCCCCAGAUGUCACCAGGGGUCAUGCCAUGGCCCUAGCCACCAGCAAGGGCGUCGGACAGGAUCCAUGACCGCCGGAUUCCUUUACCGGAAUACCCAUAAAGUGGAGGGGUAGGCGAUGGCCACACCCUGCCCUCCAAUACACAAACAUAUUCCAAUGCCUAACCGCCACCCGAGCCCAAAGAGGCUCGCUGCCAAUACCCUCACAGCUGCAACCAAUCCUUAAGGCUUCUGAUGAUGUCGGCCAGCCAAAUAUCAUUGCCAAGAUCCAAAAGGUGAACACCUUCAUCACGAAACAAAGACCGUUCGCUGAACCGGAUGUCAGCAUGCAGAAAUGUGAGAGCAAUCUGCAUUCCUGAGCUCCAUUGCUCAGACAUCAUUUGAAGCUGGACUUAAGCGUGACUAUGUAACUGCAAAGGUCUGUAUAGUUAAAACUAUGGUUUUCCCAGUAGUGAUGUAUGGAAGUGAGAGCUGGACCAUAAAGAAGGCUGAUCGCCAAAGAAUUGAUGCUUUUGAAUUCUGGUGCUGGAGGAGACUCUUGAGAGUCCCAUGGACAGCAAGAAGACCAAACCUCUCCAUUCUUAAGGAAAUCAGCCCUGAAUGCUCACUGGAAGGACAGAUCGUGAAGCUGAGGCUCCAAUACUUUGGCCACCUCAUGAGAAGAGAAGACUCCCUGGGAAAGACCCUGAUGUUGGGAAAGAUGGAGGGCACAAGGAGAAGGGGACGGCAGAGGACGAGAUGGUUGGACAGUGUUCUUGAAGCUAUCAACAUGAGUUUGACCAAACUGCGGGAGGCAGUGGGAGACAGGAGUGCCUGGCGUGCUCUGGUCCAUGGGGUCACAAAGAGUCGGACACAGCUAAACGACUAAACAACAACAACAACAACAAAUGUAAUUGCAUUAUCAUUUUGAACCCUCCUGAACAAAGCUGCUGUAUCUGAUAUUCUGCAACAGAAGCUCUGAGUGAGUAAAUGUUAUUUUUACCUUUUACAAGACUGUUUGUGUGAUAAUUGUUUUCAGGGGGAGAAAAGGGGGAGAUACCAGGAGAAUCCAGUCUGCCCUAAAGCAUCCUGGAUUAUUUAAACUAAAUGCCCAAAUCUAGCCUAUCUAAGCUUCCUUUUCAACUGCAAAAGGAUGCACUCUGCUGAACUCAUGUGAGGGAGGAAGGAUAAUAUUUAACAAAUAUAUUCUGUUCUAGCAUCUAUACACAUCCCUAUAUCCUCCCCCUUUUGCUAUUAUCUACCCCAGAGCCCCAGAGUCCUGCCCAGACAAAAGGUAAAAAGGUAAAGGACCCCUGGAUGGUUAAGUCCAGUCAAAGGCAACUAUGGGGUUGCAGCGCUCAUCUUGCUUUUAGGCCAAGGGAGCCAGAGUUUGUCCGCAGACAGCUUUCCAGUCAUGUGGCCAGCAUGACUAAACCACUUCUUGUGCAACGGAACACCGUGACAGAAGCAAAAACACAUGGACAUGCUGUUUACCUUUCUGCUGCAGCGGUACCUAUUUAUUAACUUGCACUGAUGUGCUUUCGAACUGAUAGGUUGGCAGGAGCUGGGACAGAGCAACGGGGGCUCACCCCGUCAUGGGGAUUUGAACCGCCGACCUUCUGAUCAGCAAGCCUGAGAGGCUCAGUGGUUUAGACCACAGCGCCACCCGCGUCCCUUUUGCCCUGACAGCACCCCUGAUAGCAGGUGGUGUAAAGUCUCUCUGGUUGAGUUUUAAAUAUAAGAAAGCUGGCUUUGUACCGCACCCAGCUCAGGCUCCAGCAACUGAUCUGAGGAUACCUUGGAUGGAGAACACAUAUUGCAGGUUUGGAUGCAACUGCAUUGCUUUCCCUUGCUUGAAAAUUCAGCUAAUUUUAGCCCUUCUCCUUCUCCUUCUCCUUCUCCUUCUCCUUCUCCUUCUCCUUCUCCUUCUCCUUCUCCUUCUCCUUCUCCUUCUUCUCCUUCAUAUAGGAAUUACUCCUUAGCAACUCAUUUUCUCGUUUAUUUCUGCAUUGCAUGACCCUUGGAGUUCCUUCCAAAUCCACAAUUUUCUGACUCUGAGCAGAGAUCUUUUGUUCUGUAAGUGAGGCAUCAGACUUGCAACAACAUAUUUCCAUUCAGCAAUGGUACCAUGUCAAGAGGGAUGUGUCAUAUGUUUAUUUGUUAAAUAGUUCUAGUCUAACUAUUAAUUCUUACUCUUCUUUGGCGAUCACUCAUAGCCGAGUAAGAUUGUCUUCCAUGAACACGGUUUUAACAGUGAGUCCGUAAGUGAUUGCGGAGGCCAAUUAAAUUUGGAAUAGAGUAGUUGCUUUGGAAGACCAUAAUCAGGCAUCCUUACAACAUGCCCAGUCCAAUGAAGUUGAUGUUAAAGAAUCAUCACUUUGACACUGGUGAUCUUUGCUUCUUCCAGUACCCUGGCAUUAGUUCACCUGUCUUCCCAAGUGAUGUGUAAAAAAUUUGGAGACACCGUUGAUGGAAUCUUUCGAGGAGUUGGAGAUGGUCCAUGUUUCACAAGCAUACAGUAAGGUUGGUAGUACAAUAGCUUUGUAAACAAGCCUUUUGGUUUCCCUGUGAAUGUCCUGGUCCUCAAACACUCUGCACUUCAAUCGGGAGAAAGCUGCACUCGCAGAGCUCAGGCGAUGCUGGAUUUCGGCUUCAGUGUUGGCCAUAUCUCUACCAACCAAUCACUCAUGUCCAAUCCACUCACAUUCAAUAGCACUACAACUCAGAAACCUCCCUACUACACACUCAUUUCCUUCUUACAAAAGAUUGCUGAAGAGACUACAAGACUCUCCAAUCCAUCCCAGCACUAAUGAGUUAAUGUCUCCUCACCACUCAAAUGUCCCUGUGUGUUGGUGUCUUGAGUUCAUACACCCCAUUGCACAUGUAUCUCAACCCCUCAACCCUGGAUCAGUGAGAAGGCAGUCAUUGUUUCAUUAUUCUACUGCUGUGUUGCCUUGCUUUAUUUGAAGACUGGCUUACACAGCAGCUGAAAUUUAAGACUUUGGGGCUAUAUGCACCUAGUCACAUCUUCAGAGGCAGGUGUGUGAGUUAAUGGUUAUUCCCUCAGCACGGAGUAGAAAAAGAGAGUGCUUUUGCAAGGAGCAGAAUUAUAUAAUAUUUGGCAGCCGUGCUCAAGUCUUCGUAGUUAUGGCACGAAGCGGAAAACUAGCAAAAAAGCUCUAGUAUAUUAAUGAAACACCCUGUAAACAUAACCCUUCUGCCAUCUUAAGUCCGUGGGUUUGUUUUUAACAUUCAGUGGAAGUGGUAGCAGGAAGCCAGGUAGUCAGCUAAUGUUUCUUCAGGAGAGUAAUGUAAUGUAUAUUGUGAUGGUCACACUAAAGACACAUUUACUGCAAACUGCAGUAGUCUCUAGUGGCCAUUGGCUGCACACAGCUAUAUAAAUGAGUCCAUGACGAGCCAAAGGCAAAGGAUCUAUAAUAAAUAAAGACAAAUCACACUUGAAAAAAGAGAUGCUCUAAGGCAAACUUUUCUUCAUAAAUGGAGGGGCACAGAAAAGGGCAAGCGUGUGGAUUUCAGAGCAGAAACAAAUAUUCAUAAGCGUUUGAAAUUUGUAGCUUUUCCGUGUGGAUUUUGAAUGUGAAGUAUUCAGCUUUGGUUUUUACACACCCACCCAAAACGUGGAUGUUUUACGUCGCAAUUCUCUUCAUAACUACUCAGAAGUACAUCCCAUUGAGUUGAAUGGGACUUACUCCAACACAAGGGUGUCUAGGAUUGCAGCUUUUGCCAGCACUCACUGAUAGCUUCCAUUUUGGCAGGCAUCAGAGAUGAGACGUUGCAAGCUGCCAGCAAUUAUAAACACUAAGCACCCUUGCAUGGUAUGUAUCAAAUGCUCUCAGGGCCAAACGAGAUGUGCUGCCAGCAGAUCUGUGUGUCAGAACUAGGUCUGCUGGUGCAUCGCUAUGAGCUGAAUCCAAUAUUAGUUUUAUUUAAAUUAAUAGACAUCUAUUAAUUUCAAUGUGAUAAAUUCAAUGUGGCACUAAGGAGAUCAUUCCAUCCAAGCCCUGUUGUGCUAAUGAAAGUCUUUGCUCUGGCUUCUGCUAGUGUGAUUCAUGAGCUGAAUCCAUCUCAAUGUGUCUACUCUGAACUUAGUCUGACAUAGCCCUAUGGAGGAGGGGGUUAUUAGUUUAGUUUAUUCUUAUUUUUAUUACAUAUUUUGUCUUUUUAUUUUUGUGCUGUGAACUGCUCUGAGAUCUAGGGAUGAAGGGUGGUAUACAAAUAAUAAUGAUGAUGGUUUUUGUGGUGGUGAUGAUGAUGAUGUAGGGGUGCUUUUGUAGACCAUUAGAUAUGGUGAAGAAGAAGGGGACCCUAAACAGUUUCUGCAAACAUUUUCUUCCUCCCCUCCCCACCUUAAUAUCUCCUCCCAGUAAGGUUCCAUGACAAGAAGAAAAUCCACCAUGGAAAAGGGUGGUGGUGGUUGUUUAUAAAAAAAGGAAAUGCUUGGGCAAUGAAAUGGUUCAUAGGCACCAUCACCUUUCUCCCUACUCAAUAUACUCUAAAUUGAUUCCCCUCCUGACCCCCUGAUUUAUAAUGAUUGGCAUCUGUCAAAUUUCAAUCUCUUGGCAUCAUCUCUUAUUUGCACUUCAGUUACUGUCAGCCUGGAGCACUGCAAAUAUAUUCAGAGACAAGUGAGGGGGUGAGCUCCCGUUGCUCGGUCCCUGCUCCUGCCAACCUAAAAGUUCGAAAGCAUGCCAGUGCAAAUAGAUAAAUAGGUACCACUCCGGCAGGAAGGUAAACAACGUUUCCGUGCACUGCUCUGGUUCACCAGAAGCAGCUUAGUCAUGCUGGCCACAUGACCUGGAAGCUGUACGCCGGCUCCCUCGGCCAAUAAAGCGAGAUGAGUGCCGCAACCCGAGUCGGCCACGACUGGACCUAAUGGUCAGGGGUCCCUUUACCUUUACAGGGAUAACCAAUGCAGUGGUUCCAGAUGUUGCAGGACUCUGGCUCCCAUUAGAUCCAGCAAGUAGGGCCAGUGUAAUUCAACAACAUCUGGAGGGAACCCCCCUACCUGCCCCAGCUGUAAAACAAGGGCACAUCUGUCCUUGUUGAGAGAGAGAGAUAUUCUGAAUAGAAAUAUUAAGAACAGAAGUUUAUAUAUAAAUUUUUGUUCUGAAUAUUUGUAAUGUAAAAACAUUUACAGUAGCCAACAUAUUAAAAAAGGGGGGAUGCGAAAACAUUUCUUUAAAUGCAACAAUCAAAACACAACUUUCAAAUGUAAAAGCUGCAGAAGCGUCAUAGAAUCCGUUCCCAGCAGAAUGAUAGUAAUGUUCAAGGGGACGUGGGUGGCACUGUGGUCUAAAUCACUGAGUCUCUUGGGCUUGCUGAUCGGAAGGUCGGUGGUUCAAAUCCCCUGGAUGGAAGGAGCUCCCGUUGCUCUUUCCCAGCUCCUGCCAACCUAGCAGUUCAAAAGCAGACCAGUGCAAGUAGAUAAAUAGGUACUAAUGUGGCGGGAAGGUAAAUGGCGUUUCUGUGUGCUCUGGCUUCUGUCAUAGUGUCCUGUUGUGCCAGAAGCGGUUUCGUCAUGCUGGCGACAUGACCCAGAAAGCUGUCUGUGGACAAAUGCCGGCUCCCUCAGCCUGAAAGCAAGAUGAGCACCACAACCCCAUAGUCGCCUUUGACUGGACUAAACCGUCCAGGGGUCCGUUACCUUUUUACUUUUUACCUUUAGUAAUGUUCUUAUUCACAGAAUUGGAUAAGAUGACAGGAAGGAUUCGAAACCUGCGGGACCAGAGAUUCACAGAAGAUUGGAAGAAAUAUACAAACUAUUUGAAGAGCAACUGUAAUCAACAAAUUACGCUAGUAGGACCACAAGAAGUUUCGUAAGGAGGAAUAUAUGAAAUAUUGCAAAGAAAAUAAAGAAGAGAGAUAUUAGUUAUGAAAUUUAAAUGUAAAAGUGAAAUUAAGAAAUGUAAAUUAAAUAAAAAAGAUUGGAAAAUUUUCAGAUGUGAUUGAUGGAAGUAAAAAAAAAUGUAUAAGAUAUAAAAGCAUGUUUUAUAAUUGUUGAAAAUGAUAUGUUAAGAAACUAAUUGUGUGUGUGUGUGUGUGUGUGUAAUGUUCUUAUUCAAUGAUGAUGAUAUGUUUAUACCCCACCCAUCUGACUGGGUUACCCCAGCCACUCUGGGAGGCUUCCAACAUAUAUAAAAACAUAACAAAACAUUAAACAUUAAUACAGGGCUGCCUGUGUUGUAGUUGUUGAAUAGGACGCCUCUAUUUUUAUCGGAGAAAUGUUGGAGGGUGGUGGCUCAGAGUCACUGAUAGCCUCAUCAUUGAUUUAUCUAAUCCUCUUUUAAAGACACCCAAGCUGGUGGCUUUCAGUACUGUCUGUGGGAAGAAAUUCCAUAGUUCAACUAUGCACUGCUGCAUCAAGGAAUACUGAUAAUAAAGCUAGUAUAUAUGUCUUGCAUUUGGUGAGGUGUGGAAAUGGAUUUUGCUUCUCUGGAUGUUCUUGAAUACUACCUGGUUCCAGGAUAGCAUUAAAUACCAGGGCCAGAAGUUUCAGAAAUGCAUUCUAGGAACAAAAUUAAGGGAUAUAAUGAAUUGGGGGGGGGGAGAGUAUAAAUCUUAUUUAUGCAGUGCCAGUGUUAAAUGCCAUCACAGAGUUUGAAUCUUUUGGGUUCCCUUUUUGCUUCAGUGCUAUAACAUCCAAUGCAUUCUUCUAAUAAGCCAAAUCUCUGUAGACACAGAGUCUGGGGAAGAUCUUUACCAUAUAUUUAAUUUCCACCUAAGAAACUUUUUUUUUGCAUGGUUUUAUUCUUAACAACAUACAGCUAAGCCCCACAUAUUGGAUUAAAGCUUAACCAAUAAGAACAGGGAAGUUUGAUGCUGUGAACCUAAAAUGAGAACAUCAUCUGCAUGAGAUGUAAUUUGGGGAGAAAUGCGUAAAAAAGACAAAUUAAAUAUCAAGGAUGGAACAGAUUUAACACAGCAUGGGAGGUAAAAAGCCAUCUGCAGUACAAACAACAAGAAGAAUUGCACUGAUGUAAUAGACUGGUAAGAUAACAUUGCCUCCCCGCCCCGCCCCCCACAAUCCAUGCCACUCAAUUUAGCAAAAUGGGUGCAUUAUAUUAGCAUGUGCUGCUUAUUACUUGGAAUAAUAAUGAUCUGAGCAGAUCCAGCUGCUGCAGUCAGUGCUUCAGUUUGUAUAUUGAGCAUGCCAGAUCUGUUUUCUGGACCAGAAAAUACCUGGUGUGUUCAAUGGGAAUGUCUGGUUCUUUGAGCUUUCUGGUGUCUUCCAUUUCUCCCUCUCAGAAAUGGAUGCCUAGAUCAAUAUAAGUUUCUAACUCUUCCAGUUUUAAGUUGAGCUUGCCAUAUUUUGACAUCAGUUUGUGAUUUUUUUAAAGUCCUUAUGACAAUUUACUACCACAUUUCUCCUGAUAAACACUUUGUACACAGUUUUCCUAAUAUACUCGCUUUUGCAAGCAAUUUCCCUUAAUGUAAUGCAUUUGUUAUAAUAAUAUAAUGUUGUUUUAUAAUAAUAAUAAUAUAAUAAUAAUAAUUUAUUAUUUAUACCCCGCCCAUCUGGCUGGGUUUCCCCAGCCACUCUGAGUGGCUUCCAACAAAAUAUUAAAAUACAGUAGUCUAUUAAACAUUAAAAGCAUUAAAAGUUUUCACUCCCAUGUGUAUUUCAUGUACACUCUCCACUAACAAAUAUAUUUUUGCUACACAUUUUUUGGCUGGAGAACUACAUCGCAACAUUUGGAGAAGUAUGAAUUUUUAAGGAAGUGCAGAUUACAAAGGUUCACAUUAAAAUGUGAAAGACAAUUUCCCCACAAUUUCUAUUCUCUCUCUCAUGUCUGGUACGUGAAAAGCCACUGGGAGCAGAACUAAAAAUAGUUAUGAUGUGAGAAGAAAUCAGAUUUCUUCUGAUUUCGGACUACAACUCCCAUCAUCCCCAACUACUGUGUGUGUGUACUUGGUCUGAAAGGAGCUGAAAUUCAACAUCUGGAGGACAACAGGUUGGAGAAAGUUCGUCUAAAUUACCAUUUUCUGGACAACAGCCCGGAUUGGACUGAUUUAACAACUUAGGAGUCGCUGCGUCAUUAAACUUCAGACGAUAGACUUGGACAACAGCCCAGAUUGGAAGAUUGGAAUGGAGUCAGGGAAAGCUGCAUAGGUAAACAGACAGUUGAAAAAAUAUACAUACACAAAUAAAGCUGUAUUCGAUGGACAAAAGGAUAUAUGAUUUCUGACAUGAUUGAGAAUCGCAGAGCCAGGGAUGGAGAACUUUAAAGCUUUAAGAUCGGGAUGUGGAAAAUAUGAAAAAACGAGAGGAGGCAGGACUGAAGAUUUGGAGAUAUGCUUCAGAGGUCCAGACUAUGAGAAACCCAGAAAAAUUAAUAACUACAAUUUGGAUUACAAUUUGGUCUUUUUUAUUUUUGCUUUUUUGUUUUUAAUUGGAUUAUGAUGUGGACAUGUUGAUUGGCUGUUUUUAUUGGAAAAUCAAUAAAAAUGAUUAAAAUAAAUAAAUAAAUUACCAUUUCAUGUAGUUUGCCUGAUUCAUAUGUGAGACACCCUCUCCUCUUUCCUAGGGCACAGUACUGUCACAUUGCCCUGCUCCUAGACCACUGGGACCACUAAUGGAUAGCCAAUGGAUCUUCUAUGUUGCAGACACAGAAUACCUAAACUAGUUUGCUCAAUUUCAAGAAUCUAGAUUAUUUUUUUUACUCAUGAAGGUUCACAUGCAGUUGCACAACAUCAUAGUUUUUGUAGUAGUCAAAUAUGUGCUGUUUAUGAGUUGAUGCUGCUGAAGCUUUACAAAAACCAUGAUGCAAUGCAAGCACAAGUGGUACCUCGGGUUAAGUACUUAAUUCGUUCCAGAGGUCCGUUCUUAACCUGAAACUGUUCUUAACCUGAAGCACCACUUUAGCUAAUGGGGCCUCGUGCUGCCGCCGCACUGCCAGAGCACGAUUUCUGUUCUCAUCCUGAAGCAAAGUUCUUAACCUGAAGCACUAUUUGUGGGUUAGCGGAGUCUGUAACCUGAAGCGUAUGUAACCUGAAGCAUAUGUAACCUGAGGUACCACUGUACGACCAAAGAAUGUCAUGUCACACAGGCCUAGUUUGCUUGGUUCUCUUGCUGCAAAAAUUGAUCGUGUGCAAUUUGACGAGAAGGACAUGGUGCUGUAUUCACUAAGCAACACCAAACUGCAGUCAAACUGCCUACUGCAAAAACACAUCAUAGAAAGAGCAGGGCUGGCUAGUGAAAAUAAUUGUUUCUCUGAGCUGUCACCAUGUCUCCAGAGCCUGCAAGACUUGGCAGAAUUAAAUAUAAUGAACUGAGACCUCAGCACAAUUAUUUAUUUUCAGAUUGGUGAAGUGCCAUUUUCUUCCCCGUUCAGAAAAUUAACCUCUGCAAAAGCCAACUUGCUCUACACAAAAUUAAUAAAGCAGAGCAUGCCGGCAAUAACUUACACAUGUUUAUUUAUAGGAUAUGUCUCCAGUGAGGAGGGUUAAGAUGAAAAAUUGACUCAAAGGACUUCAUUCUGAGGGGAUUUGCGCCAAGUCUUGCCUUCCGUUCACAUUGUUUAGACUCGGUGUUACUAGUCUGUGUGUCUCCUUUUAGCAUUAGAAAUUCUCUUUCCACGAGUAUUAGCAUAAUCUUUCUGAAAGGUGAUGCCUUGACCAAGCAAUAGGCUUAAACCAAUAAGCCAAUAGGCCACUAGGACAGACCUCACCUGGAUUACUGUGUCCAGUUCUGGGCACCACAGUUCAAGAAGGACACUGACAAACUGGAACGUGUCCAGAGGAGGGCAACCAAAAUGGUCAAAGGCCUGGAAACGAUGCCUUAUGAGGAACGGCUAAGGGAGCUGGGCAUGUUUAGCCUGGAGAAGAGGAGGUUAAGGGGUGAUAUGAUAGCCAUGUUCAAAUAUAUAAAAGGAUGUCACAUAGAGGAGGGAGAAAGGUUGUUUUCUGCUGCUCCAGAGAAGCGGACACGGAGCAAUGGAUCCAAACUACAAGAAAGAAGAUUCCACCUAAACAUUAGGAAGAACUUCCUGACAUUAAGAGCUGUUUGACAGUGGAAUUUGCUGCCAAGGAGUGUGGUGGAGUCUCCUUCUUUGGAGGUCUUUAAGCAGAGGCUUGACAACCAUAUGUCAGGAGUGCUCUGAUGGUGUUUCCUGCUUGGCAGGGGGUUGGACUCGAUGGCCCUUGUGGUCUCUUCCAACUCUAUGAUUCUAUGACAUUUAACUCAGCAUUGCUUGCACUGAUUCACAGCAGCACAAGAUAAUUUCAGGCAGGGUGCUAAACCUGAGCUACCGGGGGUGGGCUGUGUGCAAAAUAACUGGGCCCCUAGGAGCUGGCAUCCCUGGUGCAGAUGUGCCAGGAUUUGGUGCAUUUUGGGUAAUUAUUUGCUAGUUGUGUGGCGAUUCCUGCCUCCCACCAGUUGGAAUAACUGAAGACGCAGGACACCGUUAUUUUAGGUUAAUGGGAGAAAAAUGGCCACAACUUUAUUGGUUACAGGUAAGAGCGGUAUUGGCUUUAGGCAUUGGUCCUAUCAGACUAUCCGGCAUAGAACUGGAAAGGGUUAACACCAACAGGGGGAGCCCCUGAGAUGCACAUCCCUAGGCGCUCCCCGAGGGGUCACCGCUCGGGAGCGUGCUUUAGGCCCUAGCCUCCAUAGGUUUCGGACGAGGCAACGCCCCCCGGAAUCCUUUACCGGACUACCCUUAAAUAUUUGGGGGAGGUGAUGGCACUCCUCCCCCCAACUCAUUUGCAUAAUAAUACCCCUACCAAUGCCUAACCGCCCAACCAAGGACGUUGUGACGAUUUGCUACGAGGUAGGCGAAAAAACCAAAUGGCUUUUCUUCAAUGCCAAUUUGCCAAGUGGAAAAAUUCCUACCAGGCCCCUUAUGGCGACCAACCGAGGUCCAUAGCAAGGUCAGAGGGGAAAACUAGAGGUUGGGUGGGUGGGAAAGCUGCUGCGAGGACAAAAAGGGGAGAUCCCGGGCCCGCCCCAACCUUAAGUGACCCGGGCCACGCCCCCCGGCCGAUUGGCUGACGCAGCCUGAGGAUUCCCCAGGUUGCACAGGGCUGAAGCCAGCCCCACGCAGAUGUUGGGGGUGUGAGCCCACAACUCCACCCCCUCCUUAAGUCGGGAGUGGCUUUGUAGUGUAUAAAAAUCUAGAUAGUUUCCUUGUUCCAGGGAGUACCUUUGGGUUUUCACCUGAGGUGCUGUGCUGCAGAAAUAAAGAAAGGGGUCUACUUUGGUCUGCCUUCCUUGGCUGCAUUUUUAUUCAAGAAACUCCCUACUUGGGAACAAAUUGGGUGGGUGGAACUAGCCACUCCCUUGACACAAUGCUGCCUGGGCAGGAGUGAAAUGGACUUUCUGCUGGAGCAAUGGCAUCUCACCAUCAUCUCUUCUGAACCUCCUCCCUGAAGCCCUCUGUGCACCUUCAAAAUCUGCUCCAGGGUGGUAUGGAUGGUAUUUGACACCUGUAAAAUUAGAUUUACCACAACAGUGAUAACUCAUGUUGGAAAUGUAAAGAAAAGAAGGGUACUUUUUAUCAUAUGUGGUGGACCUGCCCUGGGGUGAAAGACUUCUGGGAGAAGAUUUAUAAUGAAUUGAAUUUUUUUUUUUGAAAUAUACAUUUAUUAAGAAACCAGAGGCCUUUCUUCUGGGAAUAACAGGUUUGGAAUUGCCCAAGAAAGAUGUUAAAUUGUUUUUGUAUGCCACAACUGCAGCAAGAAUUUUAUUAGCUAAGAAUUGGAAAACACAAGAAGUCCCAACAGUGGAGGAAUGGCAAAUGAAGAUGAUGGACUUUUUGGAGCUAGCUGACCUGACAGGAAGAGUCCGUGACCAGAAGGAGGAGGAGUACCAGGAGGAAUGGAUUAAAUUUAAAGAAUAUUUAGUUAAGUAUGUUAAAAUAAUAUAAUUGGAAAAGCUUGCAAAUAUCAGAUAGGCUUAGUAUUUAAUUAUGUAAUUUUAGGAACUAAUAUGUUUAAUGCGGGACGCGGGUGGCGCUGUGGGUUAAACCACAGAGCCUAGGACUUGCUGAUCAGAAGGUUGGCAGUUCGAAUCCCCGUGACAAGGUGAGCUCCUGUUGCUCGGUCCCUGCUCCUGCCAACCUAGCAGUUCGAAAGCACAUCAAAGUGCAAGUAGAUAAAUAGGUACCGCUCCGGCGGGAAGGUAAACGGCGUUUCCGUGCGCUGCUCUGGUUCGCCAGAAGCGGCUUAGUUAUGCUGGCCGCAUGACCCGGAAACUGUACGCCGGCUCCCUCGGCCAAUAAAGCGAGAUGAGCACCGCAACCCCAGAGUCGGCCACGACUGGACCUAAUGGUCAGGGGUCCCUUUACCUUUACCUUAUGUUUAAUGCUAAAAUAGAAAGUAAGAAAGAUGUUAAGUGAUUAAGUUAAUUUUAUGAGAAAAAUGGUGUUGGAAAACUGUUAAAAUGAUAUACACUGAAAUUCAAUUAGGGGGAUUCGAGGAAGUAACUUAACAAUGUUACUAAGAUCGGUUUAAAUACUGUACAGAUUUAUGUUUGUCUGUCUGUCUGUCUGUUUGUUUGUUUGUUUGUUUACUUUUUUGGAAAAUUAAUAAAAAAAACUGGAAAAAAACAACAAAAACAAAAUCUGCUCCAGGGUGUUGGAUUCUACCCAGAACUUCCAGAACAUAUUAUCUCCUACAGUUUCUUCAGCCACAAUGGGAAUUGCUGCCCUCAUCAGGGAUUCUCCAGCAUGCCUGGUGCAUUCUCCAGGGAGAUUGCAUAAUAGACAUUCCCUGGACCUUGGGAAUCAACUCACCCAGUUCACUUCCUGAUGUUUUCAAUGCCAACAACUCAUGCACUAAUUAAAUUAAAUAAAAAAUGCACUAAGGAAGACAGUGGCUUAUAUUUCCCCUUGGCAUGCUCUAUUUACAUGGAAGACUUCUGUAUCUUCCAGGGAGGGUGUGUGUGUGUGUGUGAGGGAGAGAGAGAGAGAGAGAGAGUGAGUCUGCCCCAUUUCGGCUUUGAAAUUUAUUCUUUGAGAAGACUUAACCAGCAGCUAGUGUAAUCGCUUCAGAAAGAUGGACUCCGCUCAGUGAAAAUCCUUCAUUCUUUGACAGUUGCUGCAGGGACUCUGGGGAGUUUCGACAGCAGAUGCAGAAACUAGUUCUGAAUCAGGAGAGAGUGGGGGGCAGAAGAUGAGCAAAAUAUCUAUUCUUUUCUCAUCUGUCAAAUUCAGAAUAUCGCAGCUAGGUUCACUUCCCCACUUAGGCUGAUUCUGUUUAUGAACCUUGUUUACCACCAGGCUAAAAAAGGAGCACAUUCUCCCUGAGCUAAUGUAGCGCGCACACACCAUCCACAUGAGCUUUCCUUUACAUGUCCCCCACAGUCAGGGCAGAAUAAAAGCAAGCAGGCUCAGCUGGGAAAGAAUUAAGAAUUGCUCAGAAGGCAUCACAAACAGAAAGCCUGGAAGAAUUGCUCUCUCUGAUUAUUGGGAAUUGAUUUGAAAACACAUGCAUGAACUAAUUUGGACUGAUAGUACUAUAUUUUGUUUUUGUACAUGUUUGAAAUAUAAUGGAAAUGAAAAAUGGCUAAAGGUAAAUUGCAGAAGGUUUAAUGUGGCAUUUUUUUCCAUGGGGCUAUUUGAAUUCCAAGGAGAACACUUUGAGCUCUUGCUAAAUUAACGAUUAUGCUGUUUCUCUGGUAGCAAACCUGGGAGUGUUGUAACUUUAGAUCAUGUGAGAGGGAUUAGGUUGCAAAUCUCCAUUUUGAAGUGAGUUGCCUUUGAGUCUUUGUCUCCCAAACUUCAUGGAGUGUAGAUGUAAAAUGAAGCUCUCCGGAAGGAAGAGUAAACAGCCUGGAGGGUGGAAUGCAAGCUGUGGAGAUUAAUCUGUUUGGAUAAUUUCAUAUUUUGCAAGAUGCUGAAUUUACCCAUUUGCUUUGAAUUUGCUUUGCAUUGAAAUGAAUGGGGUGUGACAACAGACUGACAAUUUGCAAAAUGAAUUAAGCGACCUUUUGCUACAGCAGACAGUGGGGUGAGUAGCAAAGAUUUUGGCAGGGGAUGAACUGCAGCAGGGCAGAAACAGAGUUGUGUGUGGAUCAGAAAAUGAUGCCCUCUUACACCCCUAUCUAAGACCCAUCUUUACCCCCAAACUGCAACAAAUAAGUCUAUUUUAAUUUUUUGUCAUAUGUUUAUCUCACCCCGCCCCAUCUCUUUCUCUUAUAAUCCCCCCUCUUUUUUUCUUCUCUUUUCCAUGGUUAAACAAAAACCUCUGAAGAAAUAAAAGUAAAAUGGCAAUGGUGAUAAUUCUGCGCUGUCAAAGCAUAACCCCCGCUUACAGGUCCCAGCUCUUCAGUUUAAUCAUCAUCAUCCUCAUCAUCAACAUCAUCUAUAUCCCGCCAACUCUGGGCAGCUUCCAGCACAUAUUAAAACAUAAUAAAAUGUCAAGCAUUAAAAUACAGGUCUGCCUUCAGAUGUCUUCUAAAAGUUAUAUAGUUCUUUAUCCAACAGGCUGAAACUUGACUGGUCUUCUGAGUCACAACCUCACACCUAAUGCCAUUUUAAUAUGUUUUAACUCCUACAUCUCCUUCUAAGUUGCUACUGCUUACCUGGUAUCCCCAUCCUCUACUUCCCUCUGAUCUGGUUUUGAAUUUGGGAGCAUUUCUUUCCACCCAUUUUCUCAAACACAUUUCCACUGCUUUUAAAUCUCAAGACCUCUUCCCAUCAAGCUAGUUUUAAAACCCGCUAUUAACCUCAACAGCAGCCAAAUGAAGAAGUGCCUAUCUAGCUCACUUGCAACAUCCCUGGCUUAAUUGAGUAGACUUGGGCCACCAUUGUGUCUCUGUUGCUUUGGCUCAGUCCAUUUGCUCUGGUAGCUGGCCAAAGUUUAGCACUCAUAAUUUGAUAUAAAAUGGGAUAAAACACCUCAUUUGCAGAGGCCAUGACUAAUUUCCUGCACAGUUCAGAACUUUCCUCAGAAAUCAGGCCUUUCAUGUUGUUUCUCUUGUAAUGAUUUAAUCUGCAAAGAGACUUAACAUAUUCUCUUUGAUUCCACCCCGUCCUCUCUCUCUCUCUCUCUCUCUCUUCCAAGUCUCAGUCAGAAUGAUCUCACAAACAACUUUAGUCUUCAUGUUUUAGUCUUUGAUAUAUUCAGGAUGUAAAGGGAUGAUUCUCAGUUUGAUCCAGAAAGUCAGUACACACCGGAAGUUCGUGUGUGUGUGUGUGUGUGUGUGUGUGUGUGUGUUUGUGUGUCUAUAGAGCCCCCCCCCUCAGCUUUUCCUAGUUCUUCUUUAGAAACCUGGGUACUCCUGUUAUUGCAUCGCAUAUGUAAACUCAUCUGUAAACUGGCAAAAGGCAAACUGACUUCAAGAACUAUGUCUUUUGAUAUAAAACAGAGGGCCUCAGAGAAUGUGGUGUGUCUGGAUACAUCAAAGAGCAAUAUCCUGGAUGUAUGAAACAAAACUUCACCUCACUUGCACCAGUGGAAGAUCUAAACCUUCAUCCAUGAAAGAUGAAAAAGAUCAUACUGUUGGUUUCUUCUGUGUGAACGGUGUUAUACUUGUGCCAUGUUCCUCAAUGGAAAAAUGAUUAAUAAUUGCAAUUUAAAGCCAACUGGAAACCAAGCCUUGUGGGGGAAUGGUUGAGUGAAUUGGAUGUGUUUAGCCUGGUAAAGAGGAGACUUAGAGGAGAUGUGAUAGUCAUCUUCAAAUAUCUAAAGGGCUGUCAGAUGGAGCAAGCUUGUUUUCUCCUGCUCUAGAUGCUAGGACUGGUCCCAUCACCUCCUGGCGAAUAGAAGGGGAAGAAAUUGAGGCAGUGAGAGAUUUUACUUUCUUGGGCUCCAUGAUCACUGCAGAUGGUGACAGCAGUCACAGAAUUAAAAGACGCCUGCUUCUUGGGAAAAAAGCAAUGCCAAACCUUGACAGCAUCCUAAAAAAAAGAGACAUCACCUUGCCAACAAAGGUCCGUAUAGUUAAAGCUAUGGUUUUCCCAGUAGUGAUGUAUGGAAGUGAGAGCUGGAUCAUAAAGAAGGCUGAUCCCCGAAGAAUUGAUGCUUUUGAAUUAUGGUGCUGGGGGAGACUCUUGAGAGUCCCAUGGACUGCAAGAAGAUCAAACCUCUCCAUUCUGAAGGAAAUCAGUCCUGAGUGCUCACUGGAAGGACAGACCCUGAAGCUGAGACUCCAAUACUUUGGCCACCUCAUGAGAAGAGAAGACUCCCUGGAAAAGACCCUGAUGUUGGGAAAGAUGGAGGGCCCAAGGAGAAGGGGACGACAGAGGACGAGAUGGUUGGACAGUGUUCUCGAAGCUACCAGCAUGAGUUUGACCAAACUGCGGGAGGCAGUGGAGGACAGAAGUGCCUGGCAUACUCUGGUCCAUGGGGUCACAAAGAGUCGGACACGACUAAACAACUAAAUAACAACAACAAAGCCUGGUAAAGAGGAGACUGAGAGGCGAUACGAUACUCAUCUUCAAAUAUCUAAAGGGCUGUCAGAUGGAGCAAGCUUGUUUUCUCCUGCUCUAGAUGCUAGGACCCAAACCAAUGGGUCCAAGUUACAAGGAGAUUCUGAGUAAACAUCAGGAAGAACUUUCUGAUAGUAAGAGCCGUUUGACAGUGGAGCAGACCUCCCACAAGAGGUGGUGGACUCUUUUUCCUUUGGGGUUUUUAAGCAGAGGUUGGAUGGCCAUCUGUCAUGUACAGUGGUACCUUGGGUUACAUAUGCUUCAGGUUACAGACUCUGCUAACCCAGAAACAUUACCUUGGGUUAAGAACUUUGCUUCAGGAUGAGAACAGAAAUCGUGCUAUGGCAGCGCAGCGGCAGCAGGAGGCCCCAUAAGCUAAAGUGGUGCUUCAGGUUAAGAACAGUUUCAGGUUAAGAACGGACCUCUGGAACGAAUUAAGUACUUAACCCGAGGUACCACUGUAUGAUCUAGUUGGGAAGGAGCCUGUUAAAGGCAAACAAUGCCAAGACAACCUGUGUUUAAUAGGAUUAGGGCUGGUCUCAGUGGGAAAGGGAAGGAUUUCAAUAGGUUGGGAUUUGAUGAGCAUUCAAAGGCAGUAAUGCUUUUGAAUAUCAGUUGCUGGAAAUGGAAGAGGGGUGAGUGCUCUUGUGUUUGGCUCCUGCUUGCCAGCUUUCCACUAGGUUGGCCAAUGUGGGGACAGGAUGCUAGACUUGGCGUCAUCCAGCUGGCUUUCCUUAUGUUCUUAUCAUUUGCUGAUCCUGUUGUGUGUUAAAUUAGGAGGUUGUGGCCCUAGACCACCUGAUCCUUGUGACAUGUCUCAUGAUUCCAGGGUGUACUUGCAAAAGAGAAUUAGACUUUAAAAGAGCCUUACAGCACCUUAAAAUAAAUAAAACAGGCCCAGUUUUUUUGUAUGCCUCGCCAUAAUAUGUUAUUCCUUUCCUUUCUGAAUCAUUCAUCACACAUAAGUUUAAAAUAGUUCCCAUGUUGUUUUCAUGGAUGAUCAUAUUGGCCAAAAUUGGUUCUCGGUAAUCUCUACUCUACCUAAACCAGGAUUCUGAGAUUGCUUUGGGGGUUUUAUUUUUUAAGGAAAUGCAUUACUUUGAACAAGACGUAGCCCAAGCUAAGCAUAUUUAAGACCUUCUGGUUUUUCAAUGGGGCAGUUAAGGGCAUACUAGCUGGCUGCCAUUUCUUAUUUCCCCAUGAACCUUAGCAGUAAAUGUGCACAGCAUCCUAUUCAGUGCAGCUGAGCUUAAUAAAUGAGCUUUCUGAAAGCCCUUAUUAUGAAACGUCUUGGGCCCGGUCUUAUUCAACAUCUUUAGCAACGACUUGGAUGAUGGACUCAAGGGCAUCCUGAUCAAAUUUGCAGAUGACACCAAACUGGGAGGGGUGGCUAACACCCCAGAGGACAGGAUCACACUUAGCAGGAUGGGUGGGAUCUCUCAGGAUAUUGUGUGACUUCUUCAAAGUGCGAGACGUGAAGAUCUCAUCCAGGGUUGGUAGUUGGAGCCCAAUAACAUUCUGGGCAAUUUUAAUUAUUCUCUGUAAAGCUUUUCUAUCCGUUUCAGAGCUGCUCCCAUACCACGAUAAUAUACUAUAUGUUAAGACACUCUCGAUGGUACUGUGAUAAUAGGACAGAAGUAGGUGCUGAGAUAGAUUCAGUCCCCUGAGCAUUCUCAGGAAAUACAACCUCCCCUGCACCUUCCUCACAACCAUAUUAAUAUUUACAGUCCAUGAGAGGUCCUCAGAGAUGUAAGUGCCCAGGUAUUUAAAACUACCAACCCUCUCCACCUCCUCGCCAUUUAUGUGCAAUGGUAAAAAUACGCUUUUCUUUCUCCUAAAGUCAAUUAUGAGUUCUUUGGGUUUUUUGGUGUUAAGCAUAAGAUUGUUUUCUUUACACCAUUGAAUUAACCCCUGGACUUCUUUCAAAACGACCUUGACAGAUUAGAGAACUGGGCCAAAACAAGAUGAAUUUUAACAGGGAGAAAUGUACUUGGGCAAAAAAAAUGAGAGGCACAAAUACAAGAUGGGUGACACCUGGCUUGAGAGCAGUACAUGUGAAAAGGAUCUAGGAGUCUUGGUUGACCACAAACUUGCCAUGAGCCAACAGUGUGACGCAGCAGCUAAAAAGCCAAUGCAAUUCUGGGCUGCAUCAAUAGGAGUAUAGCAUCUAGAUCAAGGGAAGUAAUAGUGCCACUGUAUUCUGCUCUGGUCAGACCUCACCUGGAGUACUUUGUCCAGUUCUGGGCACCACAGUUCAAGAAGGACACUGACAAACUGGAACGUGUCCAGAGGAGGGCAACCAAAAUGGUCAAAGGCAGGAGGGCAACCAAAAUGGUCAAAGGCCUGGAAACGAUGCCUUAUGAGGAACGGCUAAGGGAGCUGGGCAUGUUUAGCCUGGAGAAGAGGAGGUUAAGGGGUGAUAUGAUAGCCAUGUUCAAAUAUAUAAAAGGAUGUCACAUAGAGGAGGGAGAAAGGUUGUUUUCUGCUGCUCCAGAGAAGCAGACACGGAGCAAUGGAUCCAAACUACAAGAAAGAAGAUUCCACCUAAACAUUAGGAAGAACUUCCUGACAGUAAGAGCUGUUCGACAGUGGGAUUUGCUGCCAAGGAGUGUGGUGGAGUCUCCUUCUUUGGAGGUCUUUAAGCAGAGGCUUGACAACCAUAUGUCAGGAGUGCUCUGAUGGUGUUUCCUGCUUGGCAGGGGGUUGGACUCGAUGGCCCUUGUGGUCUCUUCCAACUCUAUGAUUCUAUGAUUCUAUGAAAUGAUUAAGAACAACCAAUUCAGUGUAAUUAGUUAUAAUUCUCUGAUUAUCUCCACUGCCAAGGGGGGCGGGCGGGAAUUGACAGUAUCUUUGCCCCUUUGCUUGCAAAGCCUUCCCCCACACAUUUGGGCUGCUUUUUCAAACCAAAAUAUCGUAGCCUCCAAAUACCUUCUGUUUCAGCCAGCCAAUGCACACACCAUUAAGAAACUGAACAAGGCAGGAUAUGUGGGACUGACUAAACUCGACCAAACAUCAUAAGGUGGAUUUUAUAAGAAACUGGUAUUUAUUUUGCUUUGAACUUUUUAAAUGCCACAUAAACUUUGAUUUGUCAAACUAUUUUAUUUCUGGCUAACUGUAAUUUUGUGCAGGUGAAAAAGGCUGAACAUUACUUGCCCUGCUUGCUCAAUGCACCACCAAUAACGGCUCUGCAAUUAUUGGGGUGUUCUUUUAUAAGAGCUCUGAACUCCUAUUAAAUCAGGCAAUUCUUUCAUAAGAAGUGUUCUUACCCAUCCAAAGAGUGCUAGAUGUUAGAACAGUACUGUUUAAGAAUCUUAUAUAAAGUUUGAGAAAGCAUUGUCCCACCACCUUGAACUCAGUUCACAAGAAACCCCUCAAAAGUUAUCCUACUCCAGCUCCCUCAAGAUUAAUAAGAACUGUGCAAGAGCACAACCGAGAGAUAUACCCAUCCAUGAUUUAAAUGUGUUUUUGAAACAAACGCUUAACCAUAUUUUGGAUUUAAUGUUAAUUGAGUCCUUAAUUUUCUUCUGUAACAAGUAAAUGGGACAUGAGCUCAAUAAUGGAGACUUUUAUUAACAAGCUGAUUGUUAUGAAUGCUUGGUUCAGGGGCCUUGUCAUUGCCGAUCAGUUUUAACAAUUGCAUAACUCCCAUUUUAAGAAUGUAUGUUGUUAUUGAGUGGAGAGAAUCCCAUUAAUUUCAUCUCUGCUAUGAAUUCCUGCUUUGUUCAUUUUGUAAGAUUUAUAUACUUCUUGAGUAUAAUGAAUCCUCAAUGCGGUUUACAAAAAGAAUAAAGUAAUAAAAUUAUCCGUAAGAAAACACACCUGUUUAAAACAUUUUUAAAAAUUAAAAUUGGGCUAAAAAAAUAGAUUGACAGACGUCAACUUUCUACAUGUCUGGGUAGAGAAACAGCUGAAUGUAAAGAAACAGCUGGAUAUUAUUGGCAUACUGGCGGCAAUUUGCCCCCAACUCCCCAACUCUUUUGGAAGAAACUGAUUUUCUGGAUCCAUUUCAACCGGAGUUUCAGCACAGUUUUGGCACAGAAACUGCUUUGGUCGCCCUGUAUGAUGAUCUCUGCUGAGAGAGAGACAAGGGAUAUAUAUCCCUGGUAAUUCUUCUCAACCUCUCAGCGGCUUUCGAUACCAUCAACGAUGGUAUCCUUCUGAAAUGUCUGUCCAAACUAGGGAUGGGUGGCACCAGCGGCGUAGCGUGGGUUGUCAGCACCCGGGGCAAGGCAAGUAAUUUGCGCCCCCUAACCCCUAACCUGCCGCCGCUGCCAGCUUCUUCUUGCUGCUGCUUGGGCUGGUCUGGUGUGGUUCUCUCCCGCGCUCAGCGCUGCGCUGGGCGGCCGCUGCACUGUCCCUCCCCCAGAUAGUCCCUCACUCUCUCUCCGCACCGCACGCCUGGCACCCACCCCCCUCCACAGUGGGCGGCGACCCAGCGGCUUGGAUCGGAUUCGCACAGCCAGCACUGCAGUGAGAGAGAGUGAGUGAGCCAGGUAGGGGCAGAGAGCUGCGAGUGCGAGCGCACCCCCCCCCGAUGUUGCGCCCGGUGCGCCUGGCCCCCCCUGCACCCCCACGCUACGCCACUGGGUAGCACCACUUUGCAGUAUUUCCAGUGCUACUUGGAUGAUUGUUCCCAGAAGGUGUUGCUUGGGGAAUGCUUUUCAGCCCCAUGGAGCCUUCAAUGUGGGGUUCUGCAGGACUCAUUCCUAUCCCCUACAUUGUUUAACAGCUACAUGGAACUGCUGGGUGGGGUUAUCCGGAGGUUUUGGAGUAUGCUGAUGACACUCAGCUCUAUUUCUCCUUUGUGUCUGCAGGUGAGGCAGUGGAAGUGCUGGACCAGUGUCUUGCCUUGGUCAUGGACUGAAUGAGAGCCACCAAACAAACUCAAUCCCGAUAAGAAUGAGGCACUGUUAGUGGGUGGUUCCAUAGACCGGAUUGGUGGGAGAUCUCCUGUUCCUGAUGGGGUUACACUUCCCCUAAAGGAAGCUUAUAGCUUGGGGAUCCUCCUGGAUCCUUUGCUGUCGCUCGAGGCUCAGGUGGCCUCAGUGGCCCGGAGUGCCUUCCAUCGGCUUCAAGUCUUAUGUAAGGCAUCUAUUUCUAUCACAAAUAGCUAACAAUGAAGUGUUAGCCACAUUCUGAACCCAACCAGCCACAAGCACUCUCUUCACAUCAUUUGACUGUAUAAGCUGAAUCUGAUCCCAUGUCACAUCAUUGAUUCUGGUACUGGAUGCUUCAGCUACAGCUGCAACUAGGGUCAGUGGACAGCAUAUUGCUUCCUACCUUCCUUCUGAUGCUGGUUCCUAGUUGGGGAUGGGGCAGAAGCAUUUUUUGAAAAACCCUCUGCUUCUGCGAGCUGGGAAGUACCUUUGAGAGUGGAGAACAUUAUUUUGAUAUACUCCCUGCACACCCCCAAACCUGAGGGAUGGAGGGGUCAUUCCCUGCUUACCUCUACAUUUCUCCACCCCUGUUUUGCCUCCUUGAUACCUCACUGCUGCCCAUAUUUAAAGUAAGGUAAAGGUAAAGGGACCCCUGACCAUUAGGUCCAGUCGUGACCGACUCUGGGGUUGCGGCGCUCAUCUCGCUUUACUGGCCGAGGGAGCCGGUGUACAGCUUCCGGGUCAUGUGGCCAGCAUGACUAAGCCACUUCUGGCAAACUAGAGCAGCACACGGAAACGCUGUUUACCUUCCCGUGGUAGUGGUACCUAUUUAUCUACUUGCACUUUGACGUGCUUUCGAACUGCUAGGUUGGCAGGAGCAGGGACCGAGCAACGGGAGCUCACCCCGUUGAACCGCCGACCUUCUGAUCAGCAAGCUCUAGGCUCUGUGGUUAAACCCACAGCGCCACCCGCGUCCCAUUCCUUUAAAGUAGGAUCGGACAAAUUCACGGAGGAUGUUAUUGACUACCUGCCACAAUGCCUAUGUUUUCUCUCUACUGUCAGAUGUAGUAUGAUUCUGAUUAUCACUUGCUGGGAACUGCAGUUGGCUAAUGUACUCCCAUCCUGCUUGAAGGGCUUCCCAUGAGCAUCUGGUUGGCCACUCUGCAAGCAACGACCCAAAACAGAUGGGCCAUUGGCUUGAUCCAUCAGGGUUCUUGUUAUGUUCUUCCUUGGGCCACAUCUCGAUGCCUGCUUCUCUCAACGUCAGCAAAAGAACACAGGGGCCAAAACAGCAGUGAAGAUGUCAAGUGGGGAAGGGAGAUGAGGAGUGAAGGAGGACAUCAUGGAAGGAGGAAGCGAUGGACAUUGGAGAAGAGGAAGAACUCAACCAGAGACUCUUCAGGGCAGAACAUGUAAACUCUGGUUUUUUUAAGCAGCAGCCAGGAAUUUAAGAAAGGGGAAAACUGGGGAAGGACUAAGGAAUUUGGAAGGAAGAUGGAGGAAAGAGCUGGCUCUCUAACUUUCACCCCAAACAGCAAAAACUCUGAUCAUGAAAUUUCAGACAUUUCCUUAAUAUUUUAUGACUGAUAAUUGAUAUUAUUUGAUAAUCUACACAUUGCAUCAUCGGGUAUUUGUGUCGGGUAGCUUAUAAUACUUCAUUUUCGAUAGCCAGCAUGCAGCAUUGCUUUUUAAAACAUGUUUAUAUAUUUUUAUGGUUCAGGUGAUGGUAUUUUGUGAAAUUUUGUAUCUGAUGCCUGCCAAAACUGAUACAGACAGGAUAAAUGCUGGUUGUGUGAAACACUUGAAUUUAAAUGUUGAGGUACACUGUCACAUUCAAAAAACGCCUAAAUAUCAUAUUUGAGAUCUGAAUGCCAAAAACAGCAGAUUUGAACUGUUUUUGAAUAUUUGUAGAUAAUACUUGCUUCAGCUCAGGCUUUUUUUUUUUUAACCACAACAGCUUCACAUCUGCCGGGAAAUCUCCAACUUUAGAGACUGCUCACAUUUCCAAGUAAUUCAGCUGAUAAAGAAAACAUACACGCACUUUAAGGGAAAGGAAAUCAGCAUUCAGGGAGAAGUCUUUAUCAAUUAGAUCUCUUCUGGUAAGAACUGAGACUGAAAAACCAAAGAGGUUGCUAUAUUGUCGGUUAUCCCUCUCCCAAUCCCAGAAAAAAGUCUAUCUAUACAACAACAACAACCAGUGCUUUGAUCAGAGCAAAUGGAUCACACUCAUGAUUCCGGCUGAUAAUCUUUCUUCCCUGGUGGGACCCUCUUUGGAAGAAAGAAGCUGGGUAGAAUAUGAACAGCUGCCAUUCAUACAUAAUCACAGGUUUAGGGAGGGUAAGGCAAUGAUGGAUGUUUGUGACAGUGAUUCACUGGGUGGUAUUCAACUAUCAUACCCCCUGCCAGUGGCAACCCUACACAAAGGCUUCUGCUUGAGGAUCAGGGCUUCUCCCACUCUACUUCCCCUGCAUGACCACUGCACAGCCCCAUAUUGGUUCAUGGAUGGUAGAACCCCAAGAAUAGCAUGUUGGGGGUGGGGAGAGUCCCAUCUGGCAAGCUGAUAUGCUUACACAGAUGGAGUGUUCAACAUAACAUCAUGUUGAAUUCCACCGACUGAUUUAAUAACACACUAUAACUUGGAUUCCUGGUACGCAGCCUUGAACUUGUGUGAUUCUGAAUGACUUGUUUUGUAUAUUUUAGUUCUUGGAGCUGAUGAGGAAUUUGCACUUAUGCAUGUCGAUGUCUUGGUAGGAAUAUCAGAGGAAUAACUUGCGCUGUACAACGCUUUGGUAUUUCUUCCUCCAUUCUCAUCAGUGGAGAUAUAAUUGGUAGAGACUUUCCCCCUGAAUGAUGGCUUCUUCCCCCUUCAAGUGCUUUUGUAUAUUUUCUCCAUCAGCUGCAUUAUCUGGAAAUGCGAUCUGCAUUUAAAUCUGAGUAGUUCCCCCCUCCCCAGCAACAAAAUUAAAUUCCCAUAGAGUCAGUGCUCUUCUUACAUGACAUACAUGGGUUUGAGAUUGCUUCUGCAAGUGCAAGGCAUCUUGGUUUAGAGCAUUUGAGUUGUACCAGAGUCUGAGUGAUUUGGGCAAGCAGGUUAACAGCCCAAUUCUAUGCACUUAUAUUAAAAAAAACCCCAAAUAUCUUUGAGGGCUUACUCCCUCGAAACUAAGUCAGGAUUGCAGCCUAGGUGACCUGGGCCACAAGUUUUUUCUGAGGAUGGAAUAGAAAACCCUAGAUAUGGCUUCUUCAGCUACUUUGACAAAUAUGACAAAGAAGAACUAUACAUUGCCGGAGCACACAGAAGACUCCAUAGACCAUUAAAUGGUGAAAUGGUUAUACAGUGAUACCUCGGGUUAAGUACUUAAUUCGUUCCGAAGGUCUGUUCUUAACCUGAAACUGUUCUUAACCUGAAGCACCACUUUAGCUAAUGGGGCCUCCUGCUGCCGCCGCGCCGCUAGAGCACAAUUUCUGUUCUCAUCCUGAAGCAAAGUUCUUAACCUGAAGCACUAUUUCUGGGUUAGCGGAGUCUGUAACCUGAAGCGUAUGUAACCUGAAGCAUAUGUAACCUGAAGUACCACUGUACAGUGGUACCUCAGUUUAAGAACAGCCCUGUUUACAAAUGAUUUGGUUUACAAACUCCACAAAACCGGAAGUAGUGUCCGGGUUAGUGAACCUUACCUCGGUCUAAGAACAGAAUCCGAAUGGUGGAAGGGCACCGGUGGCAGGAGGCCUCAUUAGGGAAAGGGUGCCUCGGUUUAAGAACAGUUUCGGUUUAAGAACGGACUUCACUGGAGAGCAUUUCUGAUCCCCCUUCUCCCAGAACGCAAAUUUCAUUGAGAGUGCAGGAACAGCAGAAUCAGAGACAUUUGACCAUGAGCGGCCACCGUAAGGGAAGCUGAGGUUGCUAUGAAGGGGGGAAGAGGAGCCCAGUUUGGAGCAAUGCCAUUAUUACGGUUUGUUGCGUUCCUUUGUCACUCGUUAUUAGGAAUGAAUAAAACUUAUUAAAAAGGACUCUCUUUGUUUUCUCUGUUCCUGCUGCGACCAGGGGAGGAAUAGCUUUCCCGAAGCCUUGACAGAGCCUUGACACUAGCUGACUAGUGCCAAAGCACAAAACCCAAAAAUGUGUGCCUUUUGGUUUGAUGCUAUGGUGCAAGCCAAGUGGCGUGAGACAAAAAACCCCAAGCGCCUUUUGGUCCUGUGCUUUGGCACAAGCCGGCUGACUUGUGCCAGAAUGCCAGACCAAAAAAUGGGACGUUCUAGGACCCAGUAUGAAGCCAGAAAUGGCUUCUGUAUUUUCGGGGUGUCCCGCUUCAAUCGGAACAGUUGAGUGCUAUAGGGUAGAGUCCCGGGCAGGACCUGCACUACAACACAGGCAGAUAGCAAAAUUGUUUAAUAAGCUGAUAGUUGCACUCCAGUAAGGAUUCUGCUUGUUCUCUACCACCUAUAUGAAGGCACAGAAUUAGGACCCUGGUGAGCAGACACCCAGUGCUUCAUCUGACAAUUGAAAGGUGUGUGCUAAUGGGGUUAGACCACCAUCCCAGAUAGAGACCUCCCACAGUGUGAGUAUAUAAGCAGAAUUUCAGAGUUUUGAAAUACAUAUUCUGCUAGCAGCUGUUGCUGGAUAAACUGUCCAGAUGUGAGUGGGGGGGAGCGUCGUACUUUGUUCCAAUACCAAAGAGAUAAUGUCUGAUCGUUCUGUGCAUAAAAAGCCUUAGCAAAUGCGGCUGUCACUCAAUGUUUCACAAAGGAAAUAUAAUUUGUGCAUCUUCGUCUGCAGCCUAGACAGAUGGAAGCACAGCAGGUAGAUAAAUACAGCCAUUCUCUCCCAUGAAUACCUUCAAAAGAAAGGUCAUAGAUAAGACAGCAAGCAAAAUGAAUGGAGAUUAGGAGGGACAUCUGUUUAUUUAGGAUAGCAAGAAAAAAUAUUCAUUGCUUUUCAAAUAGAUUGCUGCUCACAACCUUAACAGUGGACAUCUGCUUAAUUUUGAACUCUGAGCAAUCCUAAGUAUUAGUCUUCUCAUUAAAAAGAAAGAAAAAAAGAAUUGCACAAUUAAUCUCCAGGGAUAAUUUCCCCCUCUUUUUGCAAUGUGCUGUGCUGGAAAGCCAUGCAAGACACAGGCCAACCAAAUGUCUUGUUUUGUCUGACAGGUAAGUAGGUACAGGGCACAUUGUUGAAUGUUUCCUUCUUCCUAAUGGAUGAAGCUUCUCAAAAUCUGAAUUUCAGUUUAAAAUACAAUUGCUUUGGUACUUCACUUUUUUUAUUCAAAGAGAAAGAAUUCAAAUACCAACCAAUCCUGUGUCCUUCUCUGCUUUAAGAAAACAGUGAAACUCAAUUUGCAAAUUUAAAUUUGAAGACCCCCUCAUUUGGACUUCAUAUUUUAAAGUUAGUGGGAACUGACUGAUUUAAUACUUCUUACAAAUAUCUUCUUUAGAUUCAUCUGGACUUGAACAUAUGAUGGGUCCUGAGCUCAUAAUUCAGGGGUCACACUAGGCAUAGAUUCAGUCUUGGUACCAUCAACAAACUCUGGUGAAAAGAGUUACAGGGAAAUCUGGUUACAGGGAAAUCAGACAGGGAAGUUUUAAAUGUUUGAAGUUUUAUCAUGUUUUUAAUAUUCUGUUGGGAAACCCAGCCAGAUGGGUGGGGUAUAAAUAUUAUUUUUAUUAUUAUUAUUAAAGAUUGGAGGAAUGAAAGACAGAGAGAAACCAUAACUGACAGGUGUGUUCAUCCUGAUGUUCUGCUAUAUUUAAUCCUAACCACAUCUAUUCAGAAGUAAAUCCUGUUCAAUUAAAUGGGGCUUACCUUCAGUGUAAGUUCCUAAGUCUGCAAUGGAAGUUGUGAUCUAAAUUGUUUUUGGAAAGCUCAAAUCUGAAACUACAGAAGGGAGGAAAGCAUAAUAGAAUUGCCAUACGCUAACAUCCUAAGUUACAGUGUUGGAAUUACAAUGUCAGCUGGCAACAUGACACAGUUAUUGACACAGAUCUGCAAAACUAUUAACUAGACAAAGAGUGGAAGUGCUCCUCAAAAUGUUCUACAGUUUCAAAUCAUGACCACCUAGGGCAAGGUGACCUGUUUUGCAGCCAACAGUUAUUGUAAUGAAAGAUAUUUCACCCGUGCAAUAUUCUGCUAGCUCCUCGUGGUUGCAAGUUUUUUCAGAGUCAGACACACUCAGUGGGAACUAAUAUGAUGACACAUUAUACUUGUGUACAAUUAGGCUUUGUUGUUGUUUAGUCGUUUAGUUGUGUCCAACUCUUCGUGACCCCAUGGACCAGAGCACACCAGGCACUCCUGUCUUCCACUGCCUCCCGCAGUUUGGUCAAACUCAUGUUGGUAGCUUCAAGAACACUGUCCAACCAUCUCGUCCUCUGUCGUCCCCUUCUCCUUGUGUCCUCCAUCUUUCCCAACAUCAGGGUCUUUUCCAGGGAGUCUUCUCUUCUCAUGAGGUGGCCAAAGUAUUGGAGCCUCAGCUUCAGGAUCUGUCCUUCCAGUGAGCACUCAGGGCUGAUUUCCUUCAGAAUGGAUAGGUUUGAUCUUCUUGCAGUCCAUGGGACUCUCAAGAGUCUCCUCCAGCACCAUAAUUCAAAAGCAUCCAUUCUUCGGCGAUCAGCCUUCUUUAUGGUCCAGUUCUCACUUCCAUACAUCACUACUGGGAAAACCAUAGCUUUAACUAGACGGACCUUUGUUGGCACACUUAGGCUAGCCCCUGCAAAUAAUGGGAGGUCAUCUUCCAGAAGGAUGGUUUUAAACUAGGGAUCUGAAAUCGUUAGGGAGGUCCAGUCUUAUAAAUGUUUCUGCAUGCCUUGCAUAGGUUUAUUAAAACCUCCUAUUUUGUGCAUGUCUUGGUAGCUCAGUCAGUAGAGCAUGAGACUUCAUCUCAGGGUCAUGGGUUUGAGCCCCAUUUGGGUCAAAAGAUUCCUACAUUGCAGGGGGUUGGACCCUUGUGUUCUCUUCCAACUCUACAAUUCUAUUUUUCUGUGAUCAUGUCACCUCUUACACACCAUUUCUGUGAACCCCAAAGUCCUGAAUGCAUUAGCCCUGGUGAUGUGUUUGCACCACACAAACCUCCCCAUCCUCUGCCAUUCUUGACAACCCGUGGCAAUGCUCUGCCACAUUUGCACGCCUCUUCUGAUACAGAUAUAGCAUGUUAAGUAAAUAAAUGCUUCCUGUGAUUAUAAGAACACUCUCUGUGGCUAUAUAUAUAUAUAUAUAUACACACACACACACACAUCAAAAUUCCAAACUUAAAAGGGGCUAAACUUCUCCCGACUUUUAACAGCUGAGAUCUCCUCUUCUCUUUAACAAGAUCUCAUCAGUAAAUUAGCCUCUCCCAUCAAGGACUCAGCAUCUCUGGGGGGAAAGUGUUGCUCUCGUACACUCUCCCCAUUGCUGAGGGGAGCUCCUUUCAAAGAGUUUACAUCAGGUGCGCUCGCUUUUAACACACCUCGCUUUGCUGCAGGUGCCUCUUCAAAGAGUUUGCCUCCUUUUUUUGUCAGAGGAAGAGUUAGCCACCUUCAAAGCACUUCAUUUAACAUUACUGAAGGAAUUUAAAGGCAUCCGGACAUAAAACACCGUCUUGAAACGUGACUUUAAAUUUUCAUGAGCCCAGGUUCUCUCCCCCACUGUAAAUGCUAGAUCUCGUUUUUCAGAUAAGCCUAUCAGGGUGGGGAGCUUCCAAACAGAAUAGUAAUAAUAAUAAUAAAUGUAAGUCUUGGAUCCAAAUUUCUGCCUGUGCCUGUGAGGAAGAUGUGGCCGCUGGAAUCAGGUCCAUUACCACAAAUGGGGCACUGCCCCCACCAAUCCCAACCUUUCCUCACAUGCCUGCCAUCGAUGACCCAUGUAGUCCCUUCCAACACUAAGAUUCUAUGGUACUACAAAUCAAGUGUAAGUAAAUCAAAUGUAAGUAAAGAAAUAAAUUGAUUUCUCCCUGAUUGCUUCUUUGCUCAUUCGUCAUUGCCUUGGGACAACCGCCAAUGGCUAGAAUUGGUACGCAGGCUGAGACCCUGCCUGCCCGCAGACUGCCUCACCAGAGUGGUCCAUGCUCUGGUUAUCUCCCACUUAGACUACUGCAAUGCGCUGUACAUUGGGCUACCUUUGAAGGUGACCUGGAAACUACAACUAAUCCAGAAUGCAGCAGCUAGACUGGUGACUGGGAGUGGCCACCGAGACCACAUAACACCGGUCCUGAAAGACCUACAUUGGCUCCCAGUACGUUUCCAAGCACAAUUCAAAGUGUUGGUGCUGACCUUUAAAGCCCUAAACGGCCUCAGCCCAGUAUACCUGAAAGAGCAUCUCCACCUCCAUCAUUUGCCCGGAUAUUGAGGUCCAGCUCCGAGGGCCUUCUGGCGGUUCCCUCACUGUGAGAAUUAAAGUUACAAGGAACCAGGCAAAGGGCCUUCUCAGUAGUGGCACCCGCCCUGUGGAAUGCCCUCCCACCAGAUGUCAAAGAAAUAAACAACUAUCUGACUUUUAGAAGACAUCUGAAGGCAGCCCUGUUUAGGGAAGCUUUUAAUAUUUGAUGAAUUGUUUUAUUUUAAUAUUUUGCCGAAAGCCACCCAGAGUGGCGGGGGAAACCCAGCCAGAUGGGCGGGGUAUAAACAAUAAAUGAUGAUGAUGAUGUUAACUGCAAGUAGCUAGGAGAAGGAAGAACUCCCAUCCCUUCCAGAGAUGGGAUUCCUCAAGCAUCCUUCAACCUAACUUCAUCCUACAUCACAAGCAUUGUCAAUACAUGGGGAGACACCAAUGGUUGAGUUUGCCUAGAAGGCUGCAGGGCCAUCACAAGGUGACACGUAAUGAAAAUCUAUACUAAUAUAAAUAUCUUAUUUCUUUAAAUUCUUCUAAGCACUGUAGGUAUGCAAGUGUAAUUAAUUUUCUCCACUAUCUCCUUUUCCCAGUGCACAGAUGCUUUUACAGAACUGAUUUCUGUGUGUGUGGUACGUACAUGCUUGUACAUCCUUGCACAAUAUGUUCAACCUUGUAGCCUGCUUUUCCAACAGUGCUCCGGGGAGAACCUGUCACAAUAAUAACACUGAUGCAGUGGCCCCCAUUAGAAGAUAGAACCAAAAAUUAUUUUGGGUGCUAUAUCAUGAUCUUCCUUGCACAGAGUGGGGGGGGAGCACACAUCAGUUUUGAAAGUCAGAGGCACAGGGACAUCAUCAAUAGAUACACAUCAAAGCCAGAAGCAUCAUGGCGAGACACUGGGGGACUUGUCAGGAGUGAAGAUGGACCACUGGUACCAAAUUGUAUUGGGAAACAGCCCUGUUAGAAAAGUUAAACAACAAACUGGAGAUAGUAUGGGGACAAACAAAAGAAGACUCCUUCACCCGGGUGUGGCUUGCCUGUAUUACACACACAGCCCAACAAGACAACAACAGGAACCCACCGACAAUAUACAAAUAAUAUGGUUAACUUGACCCAACAACCCACGUCCUACUGCCUCCCAAACCCAAAGAAAACUCACUGCAGUCAACUGAAGACAACAAACUAGGCCCCCGGCCCCCGGCCCCCCAGCCUCUCUCACUGCCAUUGAAAACUAUCGAAUGAAGAGAAAGAGAAAGAGAAAGAGAAAGAGAAAGAGAAAGAGAAAGAGAAAGAGAAAGAGAACCUACUCAGCUCCUUUCUUCAUGAGGACAUUAAUGUGGGAAUCUUCAGCACUCUUUAGCACUGUAUGGCAUUGAUCCAGUUGUAAAUCCUACACCAGAUUAACGCUUAUCCUUUCACGGAAAAGAGAUUAUACCUAAGAACCAACACGUACAUUUUAACGAAGUGCUCAUGGUACUGAAGCAUUAAGAUAUUAGUCAUAUACAGUAGGGUUUUAUUAUAUAUCUGCACUUCUCAUGUCAUAUUAAAGGCACAGGAUACAGUAGACAGGUAGGACCCACAACAAAAAUGUUGCAGUUUGGAGCGCUUCCCGUUCAGGAUUCCAGUAUUCUUAUUCCAUUUGAGUAAUCUGUUCCAACAUCCUUGGGCACUCGUCACCAGUGUUUGACCCUGCAGCACGAUGAGAUGGAAUAUAAGCAAUCAGAUCCUGAAAGAGAAACCCUUGCCAGACCCUCCAAGUAUCCCUAUUUUCUAGGGAUAGACCCAGAUUUACAGAAGCCACCCCGGUUUCUAAAUUGAUCCUGGAAUGUCCCACUUUUUCUUAGGACUUCCCUCUUUUUGUGGGAGGAUAUGGAGCUAUAAGACCUCCAAGCCAAGGAGAUAGGUAACUAUACAACCUUUAGAAGACAUCUGAAACCAGUCUGUAUAGGGAAGUGGUUUUUUUAAUAUUUAAUGUUUUAUUAUGUUUUUAUUUAUGUUUUAUAUACGUUGGAAGCAACCCAAGUCAGAUGGGUGGGGUAUAAAUAAAAUCACCGUCAUCAUGGUGGAAUAGGACAUCCGGGUGGCGCUGUGGGUUAAACCUAAUGGUCAGGGGUCCCUUUACCUUUACUUAUUUUCAUCAGAAAAAUGUUGGAGAGUAUGUCUUUCCUGUCUGAGAGCCAACACUGUGGCUGAAUCUAUCACCGAUGGUAGACAGUUGUAAUGUCUGGUCUGCAAGACCUAACAUAUAGAAUAAGAGAACAAAGAAGAAUUGACGUUUAAAGAAGAUUGGAAAUAUAUGGGGGGGAAUUGUGUACAUUUGAGAACGUGGGCAGCAUUAAGAUAAAUUCAGCAAUGUAAAAAAGUUUUGAUGGAUGUAAUAAUAGAAUGCUGAGCUUUUCACAUUUAUCUGCUCUAUAAGACUUGUUAGGUCAGUCCAAAUCUUAACCACCACGUCUAGGGUGCGGACUAGUGGGAGGUAAGUGUUAAUACAGACAAAUGGGCCUCCUGCCUCUGCACUAAACUGUAGUGGCAAGAAAUAUUCAUAAAGGAGAUCCAACUCCACAACACUAAUUUCCCCAGCCAGAUCCAGUGAGGUAAAGGUAGUCAGUCCACGACUUCCUCGUCCUUUUUGUUGCCUCUUGACUGCAGGGAGACUAUGCUGAGAGUAUACCUGCAAAUGUGGGAGGUUAGCAUCUUGCAGCCAGGUUUCUUGCAGGCAGAUGAUAUCAAAAUUCUGCAGGAACGUAGUUACUGUAUUUUUCGCUCUAUAAGACGCACCAGACCAUAAGACACACCUAGUUUUUGGAGGAGGAAAACAAGAAAAAAAAUAUCCUGAAUUUCAGAAGCCAGAACAGCAGGAGGAAUCGCUGUGCAGCGAAAGCAGCAAUCCCUCUUGCUGUUCUGGCUUCUGGGAUAGCUGCGCAGCCUGCAUUCACUCCAUAAGAUGCACACACAUUUCCCCUUACAUUUUGGGAGGGAAAAAGUGAGUCUUAUAGAGCAAAAAAUACGGUAAAUCUUUAUCUCCUUUCUGCCAAAUUCCAAGUGAGGAUAUUAAGAACUUUCUGAGGUCUACUACUGAGAGCCAGUGUGGUGUAGUGGUUAAGAGCGGUAGUCUCGUAAUCUGGGGAACCGGGUUCGCAUCUCCGCUCCUCCACAUGCAGCUGCUGGGUGACCUUGGGCUAGUCACACUUCUCUGAAGACUCUCAGCCCCACUCACCUCACAGAGUGUUUGUUGUGGGGGAGGAAGGGAAAGGAGAAUGUUAGCCGCUUUGAGACUCCUUAAAGGGAGUGAAAGACGGGGUAUCAAAUCCAAACUCUUCUACUAAGUCAGAAAUGAGAGCUCUCAGGUGGUCUCUCUGUAGCACCAGCUCCAGUAUGGUUGGCUAUAUCACCGGCAUUUGGUCUUGAGGAUGCAUAGUUUUUUGAUGCUGGGUUCUUAUACUUUAUACUUCUUUAUAUAAAAUAUGCAGGGAUUUCUGUUAUGCAAAAUGAAGCAUGGAAAGGGAAGCAGGGAAGUCACUGAAAUUUUAAGGCUGUUUCAAUGAAUAUUCUAAAAUGUAAAACAGAAAAUUUAAUAAAAAUUAUAGAAAAAAACUAAAGGACAGUUGUAAUGUCUGCCCAACUUACGCCUGACGGAUUCGAGAGCCAAUGGAACCCACUAACCAUGUUUUGCAUCCCCUGGAGAAGUGCUUGACAGCUCCAGGAAGUGCUGCAGUCCUGGGGGAGAGGACACAGAAAAACACUCAGGAGAUCUACGAGGUCCCUGAUGGGCCAUGUUAAGCAUCUCUAUCCCUGAGCCAAAGGAUAAAGUAAAGGUAAAGGGACCCCUGACCAUCGUGGCCGACUCUGGAGUUGCGGCACUCAUCUCGCUUUAUUGGCCGAGGGAGCCGGCGUACAGCUUCCGGGUCAUGUGGCCAGCAUGACUAAGCCGCUCCUGGCGAACCAGAGCAGCACACGGAAAUGCCAUUUACCUUCCCGCCGGAGUGGUACCUAUUUCUCUACUUGCACUUUGACGUGCUUUCAAACUGCCAGGUUGGCAGGAGCAGGGACCGAGCAACAGGAGCUCACCCCGUGGCGGGGAUUCGAACCACCAACCUUCUGAUCGGCAAGUCCUAAGCUCUGUGGUUUAACCCACAGUGCCACAUGCAUAUCAAGGUAUGAUCUGAGUUGCUUACAUUUCUCUCUCACUCUCUCUCUGCAUCUGGAACACACAGCUCCAAUGAGCAUGAUUUACUUUUGUCUCUGGCUCUCUAUCUGUGACCCUGAACGCUGCCAGUUGGGGGCUUAAUAUUGUCAACAAGCUACUGAAAUAUUGCAAAUGGGUCAUUGGGAACAGUUCUUUUUUCCUAACAUAUCAGAUUUCCUCCUGAUAGGGCAAGUCUGGAUUAAAUUGGAGAGAAGGGAUACGGAUCAGCAUUCUGAUGACGUCAUGUGGAUUCUGCACAAACACACGAAACACAAAAAUCUCAUGCAUGAGAAGCACGGACACGACGUAACAGGCUGUAUGUAACAGUAUAACUUCUAUUUUAAAAAAACAAUUCAACAUAUCAUAUCACACUAUGUAAUUCCAUAAACCAACUUAUCAUAUGAGCGGAACAUAUUCUGAGAGAUUAAAGUCCAGCGGACUGAUCAGGAGAUACAGUCUAUUCAGUUCUUAUAUUAGCAAUAACCACGAUGUGGAAUGCUUAUAUCAGUCUUGUAGCGCUCCACGUGUCGAUGCUUUUGAGAAUUCUAGCAUUCCUUGUAAGUAGCACUCAUUGCACAAGAAACCCUCCUGUGGAAGUACCCUGUGUGUUUAAACUCUCUUUUUUUGCACAGGUUAAUUCCCCCAAAACCCCACAAUGCUUACAUUCACUGACCUCAUCUCCUAAUGAUAAAGAAAUUUGUUUUCUUUACUAUUUUGAAACAUAAUAGGCAGUAUUUUAAUUACGAUGUUAAUUACUGCAGCUAGACCUAGCAGAGACGCUGAAUGCAAACAUUGCCUUUGACUGUACAAAUUGCAUUUAUUUUUGAAGGGUGGAAUGAUGUGUACCCAGCCUUAAGACUGUGUUUUAAAGGAGUCCUUAAUUAACGGCAUGCUUGUGGAUGCACGGAGCAUUUUGCUAGUUACUUGGGGAAAGGGGCUUUUCAAUUGGCCCUGUUUCGAAAGCAUCACAGUGCACUCUACAGGGAUCAUUCUCCAAGUACAAGGAGAGAUAAUCCUUCUUUGAUUUCACAGAGAGAAUCACAGGGUAUUAGACUUGCCAGUGCAACAACAGUUCGAAAAGCCUGCUAGACGUUUAGGGGGCAAAUGUAAUCCAAUUGAAGUCAAUAGGAGUUUAGUCAUUGACUUCGGCAGAAUCCAGACAGAACUCUGAAUUUCUUUCCACUUCACUACCAGCCAAGAGCUGUCUUUGAGAUAAUGCUUGUCCAAGUUGGGCUUUUCUUUUUCUUUUUUUAAGGUUUGCCUUUUCAAAAAAUGUCAAUAGCUCCCUUGCCCAUUCACCCUGACAAUUUAUAGUGGAUUUAUUCGACAUAGAAAUUAGGUGGCAAAAGGCAGGCGAUCUAAAGUGUGUGUCGCUUUUUAGUAUUUUAAAAUGUGCUUAAUGUUUGCUACCACAAGAGGCAUUGGCUGGCUAGUGGGAUGAGGUGCGUUUUAAUUAAAAACUCAGGCAUGCCAUGAAUAGCCGUGCUUAUAAUCACUGCUCCUUUUUCUCCUUUUCAUCGGAGUCAGGUGGAUCUGGGCAAAAGCUGAAUCAGUGUCUGGAAUCGGCAAUGAACGGGAGGUGGACCAGUUAUCUGAAGUUCAGCCUAGACAAGACAAAGAUGUUAAUGGUGAAUGGUCUGUCUGAUCUGAGAGAUGAGCUUCCACCUGUUCUGGUUAGGUUGAACACUCCACCCUAAAGCAGCAGAGGCACAUAGAGCCACUCUCUCGACACUGACCUCACUGCAACUAACCUGGAUGGGUACAGGGUGGGGUGGCUGAAGGGUCAGGACCAUGAAUGUGCACUGGCUUGUUUUAAUUAUUUAACUUCUGAGGAAGAGGUACUCUCCCCCCCCACACACACUUUUGGAAGAGUUACCUAUGAAGGUGUAUGUCCAUCCUUUCAGGUAGUAAAGAGGUGCUUUUUAAAAAAAUAAUGAUAUUCCAAAUCAAUUCCAGAAUUGCUCCAAGCAUUUAUUUUAUUUAUUUUAUUUUGGUUUUAAAAAACUGAAGUCUUUUAUUAAAAGUCUUAUUCAAAUUUCUCUUAACAAAAAGGAGAUAUAUAAAAAAGGACCGGAAAACCCCAGAAAGAACAAAAAAACCCGCACGCACACAAAAAGGGGAGGGGAAUCUUCAUUUCUGGGUUUAGCUUUUGACCACAUUGAAAGGCCUGCUUUUGAUCUAGGGCAAUAUCUUAAAGCUCAGGAAAACCAUGUUCUGUUGUGAAGUUUGGGCAGGCUAUCCCAAGGAAGAUGGAAACACAAUUCUUAAUUUAUUUGUGGGGGGGGGUUGGGGGGAGCAAAAAGAAGGUGGUGUUGUCUGCCCUGGGAGGAGAUGUUGAACCCCAAAAUCUCCAGCAAUCCAGCUAUUCCCCCCCCCAAGCAAAGAUCCGGGAUUUGGUAGGGAAGAACCUAUCUCUCCCCACCCAUCUUGUAGGAUUUCUAUCGCCAACCUCAUUCCUAGGCCCCAACGCCAAUGCUCCAAGCAUUGUUGAGCAGUGGGAAUGAGAGAGAGAGAGUGCUGCUCAGCAUGGGCGCUGUGCAAUAGGCAUUCAGCCGACAGUGUCAUAGUCAGACCAGAACAGGCACAUGCUUCCGGGGACUACCUUUGCCUUUUCUAUGGGGAUGCUACAAGAACCUGCAUCCCUGUUUUAUCCAGGGAGGCACACACAAAAUGAUCCUGUGUCUCACAGUCAAAGACAGGAAGACAGCUUUUCAAUACCCGCGCCACAUCUCCGAAAAGCUAUCAUCUGUGUGCACAGCCUGGAUCCAAAGCACACAGCCUAAUGGUAGCCCUCGUGUGGAACAUCAGUGAUCCUAAAUGAAUGGCCAGAAACUCAAUAGUGAUGAGCCAGCUUUGUUCCUCUGAGCAGGGCAGGAAAUGUCCUAAGACCGGUGAAAGAGGCCACAGAACAGAAACAUCUAAACUAGUUCCAUAAGCUUCCUGAAGGGUAAAUGAUGUGUUAAUUGAACCUUCUCCAGCUCAUUGAACUAGACUAUUAUAGGAAAUUGAUCUCUGGCUCAUUGUCCUUUUCUCUUUCAGGAUAGCCCGGUCAAAAGAUUAUUGUCUUUGCUUUCUGCCGUGUUGCUUCCUCUCUUGGGUGUGGGUACGUGUGGCGAGGGAAGUACGCUAAUCCCCAUCUCCCCGAACAGAAGAAGGAAACAGGCAAGAAUAAAAUAGCUACAUGUUCGGAAAAAACACCACAAAGGGCUUUUAAAUGUCUUUUGUAAAAUAUAUUUUCUCAUCGCCAUCAGGGAUGAGGAACGGGCAAAAGAAACAAAAAGCAGGUUAAAGGAGCCACCGGAGCUGUGUGCAGCACAUGUUUGCUACAAUCAUAACUCCAUGCCAUGUCUUCUCUUAAAAGUCUUUGUAGUAGUUUCUUACUAUGGACAAUUUUUAGCUUUCCAUUGGUGCUCUAUGCAGACAGGUUUCAAAAGUAUCUGAAACCCGUCUAAUUCAUGGGUGGGGUGUCAGAGCUGUUGCAAACAGAAUCCCUGAUCAGGAUCGGUGUGGAGUAGAAAUGAAUUUGCUCUCCACCACAAGAAUGAAUGUCAAAGCUUUAAUGGAAAACAGUCUUAAAAUAGUUACAAAUAAAUGUUACAAAAUACAAAAUAACAUAUUGCUCUUAAACAGAAAGCAAUGCGGUUCGGUCUUCUUUUUAGCCUUUAAUCCAGUUCAAUAAAUUUUCCUUUCUCUGGACCCAGAGAGAGAGCCUAUGCAAGCAUCUUGCUUGUUCAGGAGCGCUGAACUGAGCUUCUCCUGACACCGGCUCUGAAGAUUGACUGAGACACUGAGUUCUCAGGUUUCAUCUCAUGCUGAGAGCAAUCUCUGCUUGGAUUUCCAGGGGUGAGUCAUCAAUCAGCCUUAAACACUCAAACAGAAACAUCCUGCCUUUUCUGCCACAUUAGCUAGAAACAAACCUCUCUUGCCUAACACAAAUCUGUCUGCAUAACAUUUUAAAUACAAUGCAUUCAAACAUAGCAUUUUAUACAUAUUAAAUUUAUAUCUUUAACAUGGGGAACCUCAAGCUCGGAGGCAGAAUGUGGUAGGACAUUGAACCAGUUCUGGCUGAGUCUCACAUCUAUUUUGGAAUAUUCAGAGGGACUCAGACAAGUCAGCUACCCAAGGAGAUCAGUAAUAUCACUAAACCACAUCACCCUACUUGCAUUGCAAAGGAAUAUCACUGUAUGGUCUUCUUCCCUGUGUUGUCAAAUGGCUUUGUAUUCUUGUUUGCUUCUUAUCAUUCCUGCCCCUGCUUCCUUCUGACCAAGGUUCUAAAAAAGAAAUGUAUGCAUUUGAAUUACCGUAUUUUUCGCUCCAUAGGACGCACUUUUUCCCCUCCAAAAAUGAAGGGGAAAUGUGUGUGCGUCCUAUGGAGCGAAUGCAGGCUUUCGCUGAAGCCUGGAGAGCGAGAGGGGUCGGUGCGCACCGAUGCCUCUCGCUCUCCAGGCUUCAGGAAGCUAUCCGCAAGCCUUGCAAGCCCGGUGGGAGUUCCCGCGGGCUCACAAGGCUUGCAGGCAGCAGCCUGCAGCCCCGGCGAGUGUCCGCAAGCCUUGCGCGCCCGGCAGGAGGUCCCGCCCAGCGCGCGAGGCUUGGGGCAGCAGCCUGUCGCCCGAAGCACGGGGAGCCCUCCAGAGGGCUCCCGUGCUCGGGCGAGUGUCUGCAAGCCUUGCGCGCCCGGCAGGAGGUCCCGCCCAGCGCGCAAGGCUUGGGGCUGCAGCUUGUCGCCCGAAGCACGGGAGCCCUCCGGAGGGCUCCCGUGCUUCGGGCGAGUGUCUGCAAGCCUUGCGCGCCCGGCAGGAGGUCCCGCCCAGCGCGCAAGGCUUGGGGCUGCAGCUUGUCGCCCGAAGCACGGGAGCCCUCCGGAGGGCUCCCGUGCUCGGGCGAGUGUCUGCAAGCCUUGCGCACCCGGCAGGAGGUCCCGCCCAGCGCGCAAGGCUUGGGGCUGCAGCUUGUCGCCCGAAGCACGGGAGCCCUCCAGAGGGCUCCCGUGCUUCGGGCGAGUGUCUGCAAGCCUUGCGCGCCCGGCAGGAGGUCCCGCCCAGCGCGCAAGGCUUGGGGCUGCAGCUUGUCGCCCGAAGCACGGGAGCCCUCCGGAGGGCUCCCCGUGCUUAGGGCGAGUGUCUGCAAGCCUUGCGCGCCCGGCAGGAGGUCCCGCCCAGCGCGCAAGGCUUGGGGCGGCAGUCUGUCGCCCGAAGCACGGGGAGCCCUCCGGAGGGCUCCCGUGCUUCGGCGAGUGUCUGCAAGCCUCGCGCGCCCGGUGGGAGGUCCCGCCCAGCGCGCAAGGCUUGGGGCGGCAGUCUGUCGCCCGAAGCACGCGAGGCUUGGGGCGGCAGCCGCGGGGGGGGGAUUUUUUUUAUUCAUUUCCCCCCCCCAAAAAAACGAGGUGCGUCCUAUGGACCGGUGCGUCCUAUAGAACGAAAAAUACGGUAAUGCACAUGAAAUACCUUACUUUUCUGUGUAUAAGACUAGGGUUUUUUUUUUUUACUAAAAAAUAAAGCAUGUCAAAGUGCAAGUAGAUAACUAGGUACCGCUCUAGCGGGAAGGUAAACGGCGUUUCCGUGCGCUGCUCUGGUUCGCCAGAAGCAGCCUAGUCAUGCUGGCCACAUGACCUGGAAUCUGUACGCCGGCUCCCUCAGCCAAUAAAGCGAGAUGAGCGCCGCAACCCCAGAGUCGGUCACAACUGGACCUAAUGGUCAGGGGUCCCUUUACCUUUACCUAAUGUUAAAAGGGGGGAUAGUCUUAUACACGGGGGCAAUCUCCCCCCCCCCCAUUUUCUUAAUUUUGAGUCCCCAGAAAUAGGGGGUGUCUUAUAGACGGGGGCAUCUUAUACACAGAAAAAUAUGGUAUCUGUUCUGGCAAUCUGACAAUCUGCUAGAACCAUUUUUUGUUUUUCUUGGGGGUCCCUUAUGCCCCUCCAAAACACAAAGGGAUAUGUUCAGUCUUGAUUUAAUUUUCCAAUUUAUAAGCAUCUGAUCUGUGAUGACAAUCAGGUAAGGGGAAGAAGACAAUUUCCAUAGGAAAUUAGCUGCUUUGUGUCUGCAGCUACCAAAAGCAGAGUGGGGGGAUUUAGACCAACAGAGAAAAAUCUUGCUAUAUCUUCCUCCCCAAGAGGAGUUCGGUGAAACCAUAAGCUAGUGUUGUAAGGGUAAUGAAAUGACAGCUCUAGAUUUCCUUCCUUUCCUUUCCCUCCUUUUGCUCACCCUUCAUUCAAAGGUGAGUGAAGGGACCAUAACGCAGGAGAUGAAGCAUUAAAUUACUUAGAAGACCAUUUGCUCAUAUGUGCAGGAGAAUUAUGCAGAUAUAUCUCAGGUUCGUCAUCCAAUGAGCUGUUUCAAUAGCUGGUAAAGCAUGUCUUUGAGUUGUUGCUUUGAAGGUAUGAAUGGUAAUUUUGCAUUAUACUACAUUAAAAACUGUAGCCUCACUUAACUGAACAGGGAGAAAGAUAAGUCCAAUGUAAGGCUCGUUUGAGCUUGAAAACUCAUCCUUAGUUAAACCAAUGACCCACACAGAGGUCCUUGAACAUCAUCUGUAUACCUGAAGGAGCAUGUCCACCCCCACCAUCCAGCCCAGACACUGAGGUCCGCUCUGAGGGCCUACUGGUGGUUCCCUCACUGAGAGACAUGAAGCUGCAGGGAACCAGCCAAAGGGCCUUCUCGAUAGUGGCACCCUCCCUGUGGAACAACCCCCCUCCUGGUCAGAUGUCAAGGAGAUAAGUAACUAUACAACCUUUAGAAGACACCUGAAGGGAGUCCUGUUCAGGGACGUUUUUAAAGGUUGAUGUUUUCUUGUGUUUUUAAUAUUUUGUUGGGAGCCAGUUAGAAUGGCUGGGACAACUCAAUCAGAUGAGUGGGUUACAAAUAAUAAAAUUGCUAUUAUAAUUGUUGUUAGAUAUGUUCUAGGAGGCCCCCAAUGCUUUGGAGCAGAUUUGGGAAAGGUUCAGUGUGUGCACAGGGGGGAAGGGAGAAGGGAAAGUCCUAAUUCUAUAAACAGACAUCCUUGCACUGACAGGGCUCAUUGGUAGAAUACCACCUAUGGGCAGCUGCCUUGUUCAGAGUCAGACCACUGGUCCAUGUAGCUCAGUAUUGUCUAUAGAACUGGCCGACAGAGUAUUUCAGUCAGGGUUCUCUCCCAGUUCUACUGGAAGAUGCAGGGGUUGAACCUGGGACCUUCCACAUGCAAACAGAUGCUCUGUCAGGCUUCAGGGAAUCAACAUCCUCCCCCCAUUGGCAGUAGAUAAGCAGAACAAAGGAAAGGGAGUUUUCUUACCAGUUAGAAUCUUUAAUGAUCACAGCGAGAGAACAAAGAAUCCAUUUCCUAGGAAUGACGGUGCUCCCAAUAAAGGGUCCCACCCUCUUCCUCCCUAGUCACCCACGUCACUACCGCGUCUUGUGACCUGAUGUGCUUUCUGUGCUGCCACUUUCUCAGCUCUUCUUGACCUUGGGGAGAGCAGAUGAAUACUUUCCAGAGAAGGUGAAUCUGUUAACUCUAUCUCUCCCAGUGUUUCUUCUCCUAGCUGUUCCCCAUCCAGUAUUUCCCAGCUUCUGCCUUCUGAACUACGUCCCUCUGCAAACCAGUGUUCCAAAUCUAUACUGUCCUCCUGCUCCUGGGAAGAUUCAGGAUCCGGAGCUGGGGGAGGGGGAGGCUCCCACUAUUCCUCCUCAGUGCAGCCCUCCUCAGCACGGUCCCUGAAAUGCUCUAGCACUGAGCCACGACCCUUAGCAUGUCACCUGCUUCGUGUCACAUUGGGAUGCCAAAUCCGAAAUUCAGCAACCUGAAUGAGAUUGCUGUGGUCCAAGUACUCAGAGGAAGGAUAGCAGGAAAUCAGAUGUAGCAUGAGGCCUGCAAGGAUGUGCUAUUAUCAUGCAUGCACUAACAUGCACAUGGACUUUCUCAGACUAGGUCCCAUCAUUUGUUAUGUAUUCUGCACCCGUUCCAUCAUCCAAACAAACCAUUUCGCUUGCCUCUCUCAAAACUGCUGAGUAGCAUUCGACAUAUGAAUUUAAGUUUUAUGGAUCGAAGAGAUUCACAGAGGGGUGUGUAUUAAAGCCAAUGACAGGAAUUAAUGUGACAACGCUUUCCUGUAUUUGAUCGGUGGCAUGUCAUUGCUGGUGAGGAAAGCAAAAAUAUCACUGCAUUGUGAAUUACCAUCAGAUAAUAUGAAGCACAGGCUGAAUGACAGACAAUUCUAUUUCAUUCAUACACACACAAACACAGAGACACACACACACACACACACUGGCCUCUUUAGCAAAGCUCUGACCGUCGCACAAUAAAAAAAGCUACUUUUGGGAUGCAAUCGGCUAUGAGUUGCCUUCAGAACAUUCAAGAAAACAAUGUAUCAGAGCACAAAUGCUGGGGGAACGUUCUCCAAGAUCCAGCUGGAAGUGAACCCCAGAGAUCAUAGUGAUCAAGUGGCUGGAGCAUCCCUCCUGGGAGAAAAGGGUAAGAACACAAGAAUCAAGUGAAUGACCUCUCUAGUCCAGCAUCCUGUUCUCACAGUGGCCAACCAGAUGUUCAUAGGAAACGUGCAAGCAAGACCCAGACCCAAGAACCCUCUCCCUUUUUAUAGUUUCCAGCAACUGGUGUUCAGAAGCAUUACUACCUCCAGCUAUGGAGGCAGAGCAGAGCAAUCAUGAAUAGUAACCAUUGAUAGCCUUCUCCUCUAUGAAUUUGUCCAGGAUUUCCAUAAACAUCUAACUGGCUCCCAUGAGAACAGGUUGCUCAACAAGAUAGGCCUUUGAUUUGAUCCAGCAGGGCUCUUUUGGGGUUCUUAUGAAUCCUUUUUGAGAGGUUGUAUCAUUAUUAUGCCUGUUGUAUUUGUCCAUGGAGUUUUCUUGGCAGGGAUACUGGAGUGGCUUGCCGGUUCCUGCUCCAGGUGGAUCACGUUUGGUCAAAACUCUCCACUAUGACCUGUCCAUCUUGGGUGGCCCUGCAAGGCACAGUGCAUAGCUUCAAGCCCCUUUGCCACGGUAAGGCAGUGAUCCAUGAAGGGGAUCCCAGUAGUGGUGUAUGGAAGUGAGAGCUGGACCAUCAAGAACGGUUGAUCACCGAAGAAUUGAUGCUUUUGAAUUAUAGUGCUGGAGGAGACUCUUGAGAGUCCCAUGGACUGCAAGAAAAUCAAACUGAUCUAUUCUGAAGGAAAUCAGCCCUGAGUGCUCAUUGGAAGGACAGAUCGUGAAGCUGAGGCUCCAAUACUUUGGCCACCUCAUGAGAAGAGAAGACUCCCUGGAAAAGACCCUGAUGUUGGGAAAGAUGGAGGGCACAAGGAGAAGGGGACGACAGAGGACGAGAUGGUUGGAUAGUGUCUUCGAAGCUACCAGCAUGAGUUUGACCAAACUGCGGGAGGCAGUGGAAGACAGGAGUGCCUGGUCCAUAGAGUCACAAAGAGUCGGACACGACUAAACGACUAAACAACAACAAUCAUUAUUAUUUAUAUUUUAUUCAGUUUCAAAAAUUUCACAUAUACCCUCCAAUACGUAAUUUUUUCUUUUGUUUUAUUGGCUUCCCACCCUGUUUUCCAUGGUGGGUUUGUUUUUUUUAAUUUCUCCCCUUUGUUGCACCUAAUCUUCUCUCCCUUAUAACAACAAUGCAGUAAUUUUUAAUUCCUUCCGUUGCUCAUAGUUCAAAUCCUGCUCAUGAAUUCACCAUACUAUAACUUAUUUAUUCUUAAAUAGUCUGAAAAAGCCUUAGAUUUUUCUACAAAACAAUCAUCAUUAGGUUUACUUAUCCAUUCUUCUUUGGUGGGAACUUUUUCCUUCCUUCUAUUUUUGUGCACAGAAAAUCCUAGCUGCUGCCGUUACAUUCAUAAACAUCUUACUCCUCUUGGUGAAUCCUUUUUGGGGGUUGUUGUUUCUUCAGGAGCUUUCCCCUGCUGUCCUGAUUCUACAACAAGACUGUAGCUUAGAUGCAAGAAGCAAGACUGUAGCUUAGAUGCAAGAAGCAAGACUGUAGCUUAGAUGCAAGAAACAAGACUGUAGCUUAAAUGCAAGAAGCAAGCAUUGAUUCUGCAGGUGAGAAGUCUGGUCAAUAGAUUAGACAUCAACCCAGAGGCACAACUGGCCGUCUUACUGAGCUGACCAAAGCCGUGGUGCUUUCCUUCAGUGACUGAAUGGACUGUCAUGCCAUUUUAACUUCCUUAUGUCUAGCAGCAAAGAGCUCUUGCUGCAGACUGAAAGAGACAGGUAUGGGGAGAUGGCAGGAAGCUGAGGAUGGAUGUAUACCAGUUGUUCUGAAGCAGCUGCUCUGCUACUCCUGCGUCCUCAACGUUGAAAGGCCGACAUCAAAAUAUUAUGGCUUCCCAAAUGUCAUAAUUACAGUAUCUCAGUGCAAACUUGUCUUCACUCGGCAGCUUUCCCUUUGUCUUCCCCUUAAUUUCUUUAAUGCACUGUAAUUAUUUCUUCAGUGUGGAUCAAUUAUCUCAGAAUAAAGAAACAAAUUACCAUCAUUAUCUCUGAUUUUCUCCCCCUACUUUAUCGUUUCUUUGAUCUGUUUCCCCAUCCCAGUGACAAAAAAAAAAGGAGGGGGGAAGGGAUCCCAUUUAGUAGUUCAUCUCAGUUCUUGCCUUGCUUUCUGGAUAUGCCUCGUUGUGUAAAUUGCCUGUCAGUUGUGGAAUUGUCUGCACCUCUCUGGCAACUCCCUUGUCCUUGCAUUCAUUACCUCCUGCAGAUUGAAACCCGUUUAUUAGAAAUGCAGAUCGUGGGGAAAGAUUGAAAUGUGGUGUGACAUGACGCCCCUUGCGUCGCUUGGCUUCCCCAAGAUGAAGUGCUUCUCAAAAAAUUAAAUACUCAAACUGUCUGCAAGAAUAUCACUGUCUUACAGAAUUAAUAGGUGCUAUUGUUCUGAUACUGGGCAUAAGUUCAAGCGGUUUAAGCCGCCACUGAUCUGAAAUGAACGGCUUCAGUUACAACAACGAUGACUUGGGAUAGGAUGAGAGAAAAACAAUGCUCUUUCGUCUUCUUUGAAAGCUAAUGAGAUGCUUUAAAGUGAAAGAACAGGAACAAUCAGGCAACCUAAACAAAACAAAACAAAGUCAACUCCUCUGCUGUUUGCUUUGAAUUGCUUUUAAUCUGUUGUACUUCAAUGGCACAAGCUGGACAAUGUGUCCAAUACUGAGGAAAAAACCAGUAGCCACUACCUCCCAUCCAAUAAUAGCCAAAUAUCUUCUUCUUCUUCAGCGAUCACUCAUAGCCAAGUAAGAUUGUCUUCCAUGAACACAGGGAUUACCUCAUUGCCUUCAGCUGGGCCAUCACCUACAGCUGCUCCACUACUGGUUGGGUCAGGGGAGACUGAGGCAGCCCCUGGGUCUAGUAACCCACCGACGUCUCCCAAGAUGCAGAGACUAAGGUCUGAGAGAAGGAGAGACCUGAGUACUCACAGGAAGAGUGCUCACCUUCGGGUGAGUCGCCGGGGGAUCAGGUCCGGCCAUUACCCUGAUAAAGAUAAAAGGCUGUUGGACCCCUCCCCGGGUUGUGGGAGCAACAUUGCUGUAUGCCAGAUCCUACACCUGCCCUUGUCUGGUUUCCUGCCUCGUGUCCUGCCUUGGCCCUGUCAGACUGACUCCUAGCAGAACCUUCGGAUUCUGGACCAGUCCUGGACCGCAUUUCACGAGUUACCCCCAGGCCCAGCACACUCCUGCUCCACUGAAGAAAAGACACAGCAGCAAGAGGAUGCUCAAUUAUUUCCCAUUCAUCUGAACUAGGCUUUACAGGGCUUUCAUUUGAGCCUUUCCUCUCCUUUCCCUGAAAUAAUUGAGUCAGGGGUCUUUGUUCUGGGCUUUUAGCUCCUUCUGUGCUUUCUAUCAGCCAAAAUUACUCUUGAAGUCAAUCAAAGCUCCAGCAAUUGGAGAGGCGACCGUGCCUGCGAGUGUGACGGGCGGCAGUGCUCCUUUCUCAAGGCUGCCUGUAUAGGAAGAUCCCUUGUUCAAGAGGGCAUUUCAAAAGACUGUGGAUCAAUAGAUCCUUUGCUAAUUGACCUGCUGGUGGAAUGGGCGAAAGCUGCAGGAAAUACAGGGUGAUGGGAAACCCCCUCAGCAGCCUAGGUAAACAAAUUGAGGCCAUGAUCCAGUUCAAGCCAAGUGCAUUAGGUCUAUUGAUUUCAGUCCGAGACUUAGGCAAGCGCUUACCUCUCUCCCGUGCAAAAUUGGGGAGACUUUAAGACACUUUAAGGGUAAGUAGAUUGCACCCCAUUUGCUAGUGAUGAGCUUUAACCAGAUGCAGAAUUAGGGGACUGUGACCAGUUCAGUUGUGCUGGGCACAGUAGCCUUGGGACACAUCAGAGGGCACUGCAACUACGAUGUAGAAUGUAAGGCGAGAGGUGUAAGGUAAAGUAGAGGGACCCCUGACCAUUAGAUCCUGUCGUGACCGACUCUGGGGUUGCGGUGCUCAUCUCGCUUUAUUGGCUGAGGGAGCUGGCGUACAGUUUCCAGGUCAUGUGGCCAGCAUGACUAAGCCACUUCUGGCAAACCAGAGCAGUGCACGGAAACGCUGUUUACCUUCCCACCGGAGCGGUACCUAUUUAUCUACUUGCACUUUGACGUGCUUUCGAAAUGCUAGGUUGGCAGGAGCAGGGACCGAGCAAUGGGAGCUCACCCCGUCGUGGGGAUUCGAACCGCCGACCUUUCGAUUGGCAAGUCCUAGGCUCUGUGGUUUAACCCACAGUGCCACCCGCGUCCCAAAGGCGAGAGGUGAGUGGUGCUGAAUUUUGAGAUCACACCAGGUGUCGUUGAAAUUUGAGACCCCAAGGUCCACCACUGCUGUAACACACACACCCUUAACAUUUCACAAAUGGAAAUAAGGGCAUGCUUGCAAAACCCUUAUUCCAUCCCAUUCAAAGGAUCGUAGCUGGAGGUUUCCUCCUCCCUUUUACACAUUGUGGAAGACUCUUCCAAGCCUGCAGUGUGUGGGUUCAGUUUACAGGAGCCUAUCAUCUACAGACGAUACAUACGCAAGCUAAAAUUACUUGAGGUGCAUUUAUAAGGCUGAGCUCCACUAUCUCCCAUUAUGGCAAAUUUUAAUAUUUGAUGUCUAACGAUUCCCCACCUGCAGCUUGAAGUGAUUGACAAUGCAAUUGCGUGUGUUAAUGCUGAAAACACAAUUUGUUGCCUUGGGUCAUGCAAUGAUGCAGAGGCCCCAGGAGGCUGACAAUUCCAGAUCCAGCAUUCAGAAUGUUCUGUAUAUGAAAUGCAUUGUUAGCCAGAGAAUAACAUUUAUUUAUAGAAAUGUAUCCCAUCUAAGGUCAUCUGACACUUUCAGAAACAGAAAAGGAUGAGGGGGAAUCCCAAUAAUAUAUUUUGCUUUAGAUGUUGUUCUUUAAAAGCAUAAUAUAAUGAUUUGUUCUCUAUAUGACCCUAAGAGUUAAUCAACAGAUGAUGUCUCAAAAGUUCUGUUUACCAGAUUUGUGCACUGUUUUAAAAACGUUGUCCAUCAUCAGCUAAGUAUAGCCACGCUUAUGCAUUCAAGUCUCAUUCUCCAGGUCUGCAACCUGCAACACUUUCGAAAUUUUAUGGCAACUUGACAUCCAAUAGUCUUAUUAGCAAUGUGCUUUUAAUAGGAAACCUGUUGUCAAGGAAACAAUGGAUGGUAUUCAACUAUGGAGUUGUGCUAGCACAACAACUUUUAGCUGUGCUAUGUAAUUUACCCAGCCUCUCCUCUUCACAUGAGCCCACCACGCACCCCUAAAUCUACCCCAGAGGGUUGUGGGAACUCAUGGGGGAGAUGUAGAGGCUGAGCAAGGGGCACUGAGAGCCAGUGUGGUGUAGUGGUUAAGAGCGGUAGUCUCAUAAUCUGGGGAACCGGGUUCACGUCUCCGCUCCUCCACAUGCAGCUGCUGGGUGACCUUGGGCCAGUCACACUUCUCUGAAGUCUCUCAGCCCUACUCACCUCACAGAGUGUUUGUUGUGGGGGAGGAAGGGAAAGGAGAAUGUUAGCCGCUUUGAGACUCCUUAAAGGGAGUGUAAGGCGGGAUAUCAAAUCCAAACUCUUCUUCUUCUUCUUCAUACAUCGAAGUUACACGCUGCAGCUAAAGGUUGUUAAGUUAGCCCAACUCCUUGAACAAAUACCGCUUAAUGCAUUUUAGGAUUGCAAGUCCCACUUGCAAUACACAUGCCUCAAAGCGCCUAACUGAUUCAACUAUAAAGUGUGUCAUUUAAUAUACAGUCAGGCAUAAUACAACUACUAUAAGCAAAGCAAAACAGGAAAAACAAUUGAGGAGGUUUUUAAAGGUUCCAAAGGAAUGUCCGUAGGACAGGCAACAUUUCUUGGGAAGGUCUGCAUUGCCUUAAGUUGCUGCUGAGUUUCUCCUAAAACACCUCUACAGAAUAUGUGAACCAUGAGAAUUGACAUAUGCUACAGUUUUAACAGUUUUUCAGUAUUUUUCUAUUUCCUAUUGCUGAAUUUUUACACUAUAUUGAGUAUCUUUUCAACCCAUUGUGUGCUGUAUCAUACACUUUUGCAGGAAAGUGGAACAGAAAUUAACUAACAGCACAAUCCCAUUAAUAUAUGUUCAUUUUUUAAAAAAUAAAAAAACCACAUCAAUUUUAUUAAAGGUUUUCAACCUAAUACAGUGGCACCUCGGGUUAAGAACUUAAUUCGUUCUGGAGGUCUGUUCUUAACCCGAAACUGUUCUUAAUCUGAAGCACCACUUUAGCUAAUGGGGCCUCCCGCUGCUGUCACACCACUGCUCCGCGAUUUCUGUUCUCAUCCUGAAGCAAAGUUCUUAACCUGAGGUACUAUUUCUGGGUUAGCGGAGUCUGUAACCUGAAGCGUCUGUAACCUGAAGCGUCUGUAACCCGAGGUACCACUGUAUACCAUAAAAAUCAAACUAAACUAAAGAGAAUAAUAUGAGGGACACGGGUGGCGCUGUGGGUUAAACCACAGAGCCUAGGACUUGCCGAUCAGAAGGUCGGCGGUUCAAAUCCCUGCGACGGGGCGAGCUCCCGUUGUUCGGUCCCUGCUCCUGCCAACCUAGCAGUUCGAAAGCACGUCAAAGUGCAAGUAGAUAAAUAGGUACCGCUCCGGUGGGAAGGUAAACGGUGUUUCCGUGUGCUGCUCUGGUUCGCCAGAAGUGGCUUAGUCAUGCUGGCCACAUGACCCAUAAUCUUUCUGCGGACAAACGCCAGCUCCCUCGGCCAGUAAAGUGAGAUGAGCGCAGCAACCCCAGAGCCAUCCGCGACUGGACCAAAUGGUCAGAGGUCCCUUUACCUUUACCUUUAAAGAGAAUAAUAAAUAUAUAUAUAUAUAUCAAACAGAAAAAAACUGAAGGGAAAAAUUAAGUAAAAUACGUUAACAAUAAUCCUCAUAUGGUCCUCAUAAAACACAAAAUUAUAGGACUUCCGGAGGCGGCGCCAGCGAUUGAUGGCGGAUUCCCUCGAUCGGAGGGAGUAAGCCCCACGAAAAAAGGGUCGGAUCCUGCUUCGGCGCAGCGGGGGACCCCUAAAAAUCACAGGCGGGGGAAGCCUGUGAACCUGGGACCCAGCGGGCACAUUUGGUGUUCCCCCCCCAACCCGGCAAAAAGCCCAGAAACGGGCUUGAAAUCGGAGCGGGGGAGAGCGCGGUGCUGUGGGCUGUCUGCUCGUUCGUGGAGUGAAGCCGCAAGCUGUCAAUCGGAGAGCGCUGCCUUUCUUUCUUGAAAUCCGGACUUGAAAAGCAACGAUCCGUGAGUAGGAUUUACUCAAAUUGGAACUGUACAAAUUAAAUCUGAAAUCAGGCUGAAAACGGAGGAGGUUUAAAAAGGAAGUCAACCUCCUUCUAUUGUAGAUAGACUUAAAGCAUUGAACUUGAAAAUGGAAGCUUUUGGAAAGGACGUUUUUAGAGGAUUUUAAUCCAAUCACUGAACCUGGACUUUUCCCUCUAUAAACUGAGGGAAAAUAGGGGGAGAUCUUUGGAGGUGAUUUCUUUUUAAAGAGUGGAAAAGAAGAGAUUAAACCAUCACUCAACUUCCUGGGAAAGGAUUCUCCAGAUCCUAGGGGAAAAAAAGGUACUGUCUUGUAAUAUAUUUUGACAGCUAGUCCUGCAUUGGUUAAAAAAUCUGGAUAAGAUCUUGUGAAUAUAUAUCUCCUGGUCUUAAGUUGAAAAACUGUGAUAGAUUGAUUCCCUGUUAAACAAACUAGGGGACUUAAAAAGGAAAUUAAAGUAACCAAGAACUUUUAGGACUGUUACAGUGUCCCCCUAGUGGAACCUGGAACUGUUGCAACUUAUUACAACUGUAACUGUAGCAGGCUGGAGGAGUUCUCACACUAUUUGGAAGGAAAUUUCCACUGUGCACUGUACAAUUCUAACUACGUGUCUGACCUUGAGAAUUAUCUAAGGAAUGGCAGAUAAAGAGAAGACGGAGGCUUCGACUACAAGAUCGGGGAGGAAUAUUCGCAUAGAAGAAGGAUUACAAAGGAGAGCUUCGGUCUCAGGCCUUUCUGGAACCUCAACAACAGCCUCAUCGGCACAAUCAAAGGUAAAAAGCUCGACAAGUGAAGAAGCCUUUGCUCAAGUUUUGGCCAAAGUUAAUGAAUCUUUGAGUAAAAUAAGUCAACAAGUAGCAGAGGCUUGUGAGAAGAUUGAUCAAAAUACAGCAAGUAUAAAUAAUUUGGGCCAAAAAGUAAAUACCAACACUGAGACUAUUCAGAAAUUAUUAGAGGAAUCGGCCGCAACUCGCCAGAUUGCUGAAGAGGCCAAAGAAAUUGCUACAACUUCUGCUACGGAUGUCAAGGAGGUUCAAGAGGAACUACCAACAUUGCAUAAACAAUUGGAAGACCAUAAACUAACUCUGUCUAUGAUAGAUUUGAGGGAGAAGCAAGUGAAUCUUCGGGUCAGGUCAGUACCAGAGGUGGAAAAGGACAAUUUAGCUGAAUUUCUCACGCAGGAAUUUUUGGACUUUUGGGAUCCAGAACUGGCAAAAGACAGUUUCAAAAUAGUAAACGCAUUUAGACUUGGGAGAAAAGGAGAAAAGAAAGUGAGAGACUGUCUGAUUACUUUUAGAACAAAAGAAGAGAGGGAUAAGAUUUUGGGCCUACACUUCAGGAAAACAUUGGAAAUUCAUCAGAAAAGGGUGGAAAUAUUCAAAGACAUUCCGAAAUAUAUUCUGGAGCUCAGAUCAAAAUAUAAAGAUCUGGUUAGCCUGCUGAGAAGGAACAACAUCAAUUUUAGGUGGGAACUCCCCCAAGGCCUGUCUUUUACCUACAAGGGAAAGAAGAGGAAAAUAAGAUCGGAAGACGACAAAGAUAAAUUCUACAGAGACCACGGAGAAGACUUACAAAAAGAACUAUCUCCGGAACCAAAAGAUCGCUCGAAAGAAGGGAUACCACCGACGGACGAGGAACAGGCACUAGGUGCAGUAGGAGGAGUAUCAAAACAAUAACAUCAUGGCCCUGCAACUUUUAACUUGGAACUGUCGGGGUUUGAAUCCCCUCAGAAGAGGAAGUCAGUAUUUCAUAUAUUAAAAAAGGAACAAUUAGAUUUAAUUUGUUUACAAGAAACACAUAUAACGAGACUACACAGGAAAUUGUUAAUAAACAAAAGACUUGGUCAGGAAUUUCUUUCGUCGGAUAAAGUUAAUAGAGAGGAGUUGUGAUCUACGCAAAAGAUAAUUUAUCACCAAAAUUUGUUUUCAAGGAUGACCAAGGAAGAUUUGUGGCAAUUGAAAUUCAAACACAGGGAGAAAAAUUUUUGAUCGUAGGAGUUUAUGCACCAAAUGAUGGGAAAUCCGAUUUUUUUAAGAAGUUGCAUGAGACCUUGAUGGACCAUAUGGAUUACAACAUAAUUUUGAUGGGAGAUAUGAAUGGAGUGGUAUCUACCUACAUGGACAAGGCACAAAAACAGGUAGUCACCAAAGAUGGUAGACUACCGAGAACCUUUUUUGACAUGACAGACAACUUGGAUUUAGUGGACAUUUGGAGAAUUAGAAACCCCUUGGUAAAAGAAGGAACUUUCUUUUCUGAAGCCAAAAUGACUUGGACAAGAAUUGACCAAAUUUGGAUAACUAGAGGAAUGGCACCAAAAACAAAAAGGUGGAAAUCUGCCCAAAAAUUUGCUCCGACCAUAAUGCUGUUAAGAUGGAAAUGAGACUAAUGCCAACUGGCUCCUUCAGAUGGAAGAUGAAUGACACCUUAUUCAGAGAUGAAGAAUUUCUUAAGAAGGCCCAAAAAACCUUAAAAGAUUACUUUGAGAUAAAUCUUAGUUCCAACGUGGAGAAAAGAGUAAUCUGGGAUGCAAGUAAAGCUGUGAUGAGAGGGUUCUUAAUACAACAGAAUGCGAUAAAGAAAAGAACUCAAAAUGAGAAGAAGGAUAAAAUUAUGAAAAAAGAUUGCGAGUAAAUCCCAAAUCUCAAGAGACUCUGAGAGAGUUAAAGUUAUAUCAAGUACAAUAUAUGAAAAUAAUGAAUCAGGAAGUAGAAUGGAAAAUUAAACAAAUGAGACAAAAGACUUUUGAAUCGGCUAAUAAAUGUGGUAAACUGUUGGCAUGGCAAAUGAAAAAGAGACAAAAAUUAAAUACGAUUACGAAUUUAGAAGUGGAUGGAAGGAAUAUACAGAACCCUGCAGAAAUUAGAAGUUGUUUCCAGAAGUAUUUUAAAAGACUAUACACUCAAGGGCCUGUGAAAGAAACAGACUUAGAUCAAUUUUUGAAAACAAAUGGAUUACAAAAAUAUCUCAAGAAAAGAGACUAAUUUUGAAUGAUAGAAUAACGGAACAGGAAAUAGAAGGUGCCAUUCAAAAUAUGCAACUGGGUAAAUCUCCAGGCCCAGACGGUUUGACCUCUAGAUACUACAGAUCUUUAAAAGACUGGUUAAUUCAACCAUUGAAAGAGGUCUGCAACGAAAUAAUGGAGGGGAGGAGGGCACCAGAGUCGUGGAAAGAAGCAUAUAUUACACUUGUACCAAAAACAGAGGCUGAAAAGACACAAUUAAAGAACUACCGCCCAAUAUCAUUACUUAAUGUGGAUUACAAAAUUUUUGCAGAUAUUUUGGCGAAGAGAUUUAAAAAGUACUGUUGGAAGAGAUUCAUAAGGACCAAGCGGGCUUUCUCCCAAGAAGACACUUGUCUGAUAAUCUGAGGAAUAUAAUUGAUAUCUUGGAAAAAUUAGAAGUGAACAUAAACACUAAAGCAGUGUUGAUAUUUGUAGAUGCGGAGAAAGCCUUUGACAAUAUUUCUUGGAAUUUUAUGAAGAAGAAUCUUCAGGGUAUGGGGGUAGGCCAAGGUUUUGAGAAUGGUAUAAGUGCAAUUUAUUCAGAACAAAAGGCUAAAUUAAUUGUAAAUAAUGUUGUGACGGAAGAACUUAAAAUUGAAAAAGGGACACGACAAGGUUGCCCAAUUUCCCUCUUCUCUUUAUUUCGGUCCUGGAGGUGUUGCUGAACAUGAUUAGAAGGGACCAGUUGGUGAAAGGCAUACAGGUCGGAACUAAACACUAUAAAUUGAGAGCAUUUGCAGAUGACUUAGUACUGACGUUACAGGAGCCAGAAUCUAGUACAAAAAGGGUUUUAGAACUGAUUCAAGAAUUUGGUCAAGUGGCAGGAUUUAAAUUGAACAAAUCAAAAACCAAGGUUUUAGAGAAAAAUUUAACAUCUUUUGAAAGAGAGAGGUUUCAGAAUGAGACAGGGUUAACAGUGGUUAAGAAAGUCAAAUACUUGGGGAUUAACAUGACAGCAAAAAUGGGAAUUUAUUUAAAGAUAACUAUGAAAAAUGUUGGUCAGAAGUGAAAAAGAUUUAGAAAUUUGGUCAAACCUGAAGCUUUCACUGCUAGGCCGUAUUGCUGCGAUAAAAAUGAAUGUAUUGCCUAGAAUGUUGUUUUUGUUUCAAACUUUGCAGAUCGUGGACAAAAUGGACUGUUUCAAGAGGUGGCAGAAAGACAUUUCUAAAUUUGUCUGGCAGGGCAAGAAACCUAGAAUAAAAUUUAAAAUUUUAACAGAUGCAAAAGAAAGAGGUGGAUUUGCCCUGCCAGACCUUAAACUUUAUUAUGAAUCAGCAGCUUUUUGCUGGUUGAAAGAAUGGCUACUUCUUGAAAACACUGACAUUUUGGAUUUGGAAGGUUUUAAUAAUGUAUUUGGAUGGCAUGCAUAUUUAUGGUAUGAUAAGGUCAAAGCACACAAAGCAUUUAAAAACCACAUUGUCAGGAAAGCGCUAUUUAAUGUUUGGAUAAGAUAUAAGGAUUUGCUAGAAAAUAAAACCCCAAGGUGGCUGUCACCAAUGGAAGCGAAAGCCUUGAAAAGGGUCAAUAUGGAGGUCAAAUGGCCGAAAUAUUGGGAAAUUUUGGAACAAGACGGAGAUAGACUGAAAUUGCAGAGUUUUGAAAAUUAAAAAACAAAGUGCGAGACUGGCUUCAUUAUUAUCAAAUAAUGGAGGCAUUUAAAUUAGACAGGAAAAUUGGCUUCCAGGUGGAAAAAUCGAAAUUAGAAACAGAAUUGUUAGAACCCAAUACUAAGAAUCUGUCAAGAAUGUAUAACUUGCUGCUGAAAUGGAAUACUCAAGAUGAAACGGUAAAAUCGGCUAUGAUUAAAUGGGCACAGGACGUAGGACAUAACAUUAUGUUUGCUGACUGGGAACAGUUAUGGACCACUGGUAUGAAAUUUACGGCAUGUAAUGCCUUAAGAGAGAAUAUUAUGAAAAUGAUAUACAGGUGGUACAUAACCCCAGUCAAGCUUGCGAAAAUUUAUCACUUGCCCGAUAACAAAUGUUGGAAAUGUAAAGAAACUGAAGGUACAUUUUUUCACCUUUGGUGGACGUGCCCAAAGAUUAAGGUUUUCUGGGAAAUGAUAUAUAAUGAAUUAAAAAAGGUAUUUAAGUAUACCUUUCCCAAGAAACCAGAGGCCUUUCUCCUGGGCAUAGUGGGCCAAAUGGUGUUAAAAAAGGAUAGAACUUUCUUUAUGUAUGCAACAACAGCAGCAAGAAUACUCAUCGCAAAGUAUUGGAAGACACAAGAACUUCCCACGCUGGAGGAAUGGCAGAUGAAACUUAUGGACUAUAUGGAAUUGGCGGAAAUGACUGGCAGAAUCCGUGACCAGGG
Molecule: non-coding RNA, 57886 nt
Organism: Podarcis lilfordi (Lilford's wall lizard)
Lineage: Eukaryota; Metazoa; Chordata; Lepidosauria; Squamata; Lacertidae
Source: the annotation of a GenBank genome assembly